AGACACGUAGUUUACACAACCGUUAAAGGCAUGAUUACAAAGUGACCAUACACUUUAUUUAGAAAAAGAAAAAACGGUUCAUUUAAGCCUCGACGAUCUCCUCGAUAAAAGGUUGUUGUUGCCUACCAGCGGAUCGAGUCAAGGUGGUCUCAAGGGUGUUAAACUUGAUCCUCCUAGCUUCCUCGGGGGAGACCUGGAAACCAUUUGAGAUGACCGCUAAUGGCAAUCCCCUCAAGAGCGAGGUUCGUCCAGCCAAAGUGCUGAUCAUAGCGUUUUCGUUAGUCUUGAAAGAGAUCCACUCGAAGUUGUUUCCGUGGGACUGGACAACGUAUGCGAACCCUUGUGGGAUGACCACGAGCUGUCCCUUCUGCACCUGCUGGUCCAACACAUUCUGUCCGUUGUCGUUCACAACUUGGAUCCUUCCUUGUCCUCCGGUGCAGUACAAGAUCUCGUUAGCGUUCAUGUUGUAUUUUGGAAGUACCAUAGCAUUCUGCAACAUUUCAUACAUGAUCAGUUGUUGUCCGUCACAUGUAGCCUCCGAUUUUAAUAUGUUUUGUUUUGUUUUUUUUGAAAAAGAUUUUUAAUAUGUUUUGUUAGGGGAAAUAAUUAAUAUCAACCAUGUAAAUAUAGUGGAUUAUAUAAGUUUAGUGACUUAAUAUCCAUAUAUCUACAACUAAAUAUCUACUAAAUUUAAUUAUAAUUUGUAUACUAUCCCUAAUUUAUCUUUUCACGGUUGAUUUCUCUAUAUUUGUAUAAAGUAAAAGAAACAUAUACUUACACCCUGGAUACUGCCACGGGUGGCGCUGAGCCUGAUGAACUGCAAGAUGGGCAAGGUGUAGCUGUUAACGGUGGUCAUACGACCUAGGUUGGGCUUGUAUACGUCAGCACGAGCAGGGUCGUCAAUGUUUUCGUGGGACCUCAUGCUGCAGAUAGUCUCCUCAAGGCCGUUGUCUUGUGGGCCACGUGGGCGUCUCCUCUCUUCGCUCUCGUAGGGUUGUCUCAAAGGUGGUCGCACGACCUGGAAAGGUCCCUUAACACGAACGAUGUUUCCUCGGUUGUCUUGUUGGUUCUGAAGCUCCUGAGCCAACUGAACGUCAAUUUUCAAUGCCUGAGCAAUGACCUGAGCGUCGAAGCCGCUCCACAUGUUCUUCUGUUCUUGUUGUUGCUGUGGACCGCCAAAGCCACCCUGUUGGUUGUUUCCGGCCAAAUGGAACACCUAUAACACCGAAUCAACAAAUGCAAAACAUUUAUAUAUUAUUUAAACUGAUACGGUAGAUAUUCUAAUAAUGAGUGAGCAUGUUGAGUAUAUAUGAUUACUCUAGGGUUACGGUCGAGUUGGUUUUGGUAGUUGGCGAUGUCGAGAAGAGCGAUGAUGACAAGUGGCUGUUCUCCGGUGUUGUAGAUCCAAUGGGCAGAGCCUGGAGUGAUGGCACAGAUGUCUCCCUGGCGAACAUGUUCCACCUUCUGGUGCAUGUCACGGAACCCUUGUUGUUGCUGUUGUCCCUGUUGUCCCUGUUGUCCCUGGCCUCCCCAUGGUUGUCGUCCCUGUUGUCCCUGUCUUUGUUCUUGCUGUUGUUCUUGCAUGGGCUGCGAGUCCAUGAAGGUCUCAGCACAUCCAGGGACCACUCUUCCGCUAAUACCCUUUCCUGUAAAUUAAUUUUAUAUACAGAAUAGAGUUAUCGUACGGUGAAUCUAUUGUAUUCUUCAUUAAUUAAAACGUGAUAUAUACGUAUUUGAUUGAAAGGGCUAUCAUGUUUGUGUAAAUUGAUAUAGACCUUGAACAACGUAUGAGAUCUUCGGGGAAGUGAAGAAGGUGGGCAAGUAGAGACCGCCUUGUUCGAUCACAUAACGAGCGACGGAGACACCAGCACAUCGGAGUUGAGGGUGGUUGUGAUCCCAGUACUCGAUCUGACCGGCCUCACUCUUGAUAGUUUCGGUGGCUUGGAGAACGUCCAGGUUAUCAAGGUUACACUCGUUCUGCAGCUGAGGAGGAACCCCAAGAGACUGCCUUGCAAGGCAGCCGUUAAGGACGAGGAGAACCCCGAAGGUCGCAACGAGGAGAUUGCCGAGCUUAACCAUUUUCUUUUUGUUUGUUGUGAGAGAUGGAUGAAGAAGAACGAGGCUUAGCAGUAGUUUAUAUACUGUCGAGUGAGCUCAAUGUUUAUGCCACCUAAGAUUGGGUUUGCAUGGGGUCAUGAGUCUAUGGUUUUAACACGUCAGUCUGUGAGCUCGAGCAAGUGUCUCUUGAUGUUCAUGCGCGUAGCUCACUCUCCGCGUAUGCCAAAACACGACAAAUUCAAAUGUAUCUAUCUCAAUUUUUAGCUUCACGUUAUGUUAUUAUCCAUAUAGAAAAACUCUACUAGAUUUAUCAUUUAAUAACGUCUCGGGAUCAUAGAAUCUCUUAAACAUGAUAUAUAAUUGAACUUAAACACAGCAGGAGAAAAUCAAAGUUUAACAAUUAACACAUCAUUAACAUCACCAGUGAUAUAUAUUGAAUAUUUUGGCGAUGUGAUCGAAGAGAGCGUAUAAACAAAAUAAAAUUUUAAAAUAGAGAGUUAGGAAGGAAACAAGGUGCCACAUGAGAGAGACGCGGCGACACUAGGCGUGUUUGAUCCGUUGUACUUGUAUCUGCUGCGACUUGACUCGACAACUGUUCGGUUGCAUGUUUAGCCGCGGUGACAAGUGUCUGACAUUUAUACUAAAUAGGCUUAUCAAAACCAAAACCAAGCCCAAUAAAGUAUUCUUUAUUCACCAUUAAGCCCAGCUAACGUAUCUAAUUGCCCAUAGCGUGAGCCCAAAGAAAAAAAAAAAAAAAAAUGCGACACCGUCCCGUUUCUCCAAUAGAAGUCAGAGAGCUUAAACCCUAAACCCCUUUCUCACGAUCUUCCCCUUUCUCCAGUAGCCAAGGUUUCAGGUACGCUUCUCGCCAUUUCGCUUUUGUAUUUUGUUUAACGGGUGUGUAUCAAUUGAUUCCUUUCGAAAUUUUAGUGAACGAGUGAAUUUUGGAGGUGGCUGAGAGAGUUUUCUGCUCGAAGUUAAUUACUUGCUGUUUAUACCAAAGAUGCGAGUGUUGCUGUUUGAUUGAUUAGAAGUGUUUUGAGCAUGUGGGUUCGUUAAAUUUUAUAGCUUUUACGAUUUCGUGUGCUGAAAUUUGACUUCAUUUUGAUUCUGUUACUUGACUCUUUUGGUAGCUAUAAGUUAAAGUUGCAUAAGUGAGUAGAUCUGAGUCUGAUUCUUGGGUGCAUGUUUGUGUAUUCUGUUUCUCUGCACUUGGAUAUUGAUUUUAAUUUUUUGAAAUAUUGGGAGUGUUCUAGAAAGAAGGAUGAAUAUCAACGUCAAAGUUCCGAAGGUACCAGGUGGUGGUGCCAUUUCAGCGCUGCUUAAGGUUGGGAUUAUCGGUGGGCUUGGUCUCUAUGGUGCCACACACAGUCUCUACAAUGUUGACGGAGGACAUCGUGCCAUUAUGUUCAAUCGUUUUAUCGGUAUCAAAGAUAAGGUGAGUCACUGUUUCUUCAAAUUGGGGUUUUUGGUUUUGUAGUGAAUGUAUUUUCCCAAAGAGUUCUUUUGCGGUUUGUGACAUUUGAAUGGAAAUUGUCUAGGAUUAUUUGUUAUUUAAAUCUGAUUCUCUUUUGUGUAAACACUGAGGCUGAUUUGUUGUCUAUGUUUGGUAUCAGUCAUGAUAUCAUGUUGUUCUGCUGUAACCAUUGAGCAUAUUAAGAGUCUUGUUAAUUCACAAGUAGGUGAUAACCUUAUAUUUCGCAGGUUUACCCUGAGGGCACACACCUUAUGAUUCCUUGGUUCGAAAGGCCGGUCAUCUAUGACGUUCGCGCUCGACCUUACCUUGUUGAGAGUACAUCCGGAAGCCGCGAUCUCCAGAUGGUACUCUGCUUCAACUCCUCACAUUUUUAUUCACUUUUUUUUUGAGGAUUUAGGGAAUGUGAAGUCUUUCGCUUCAACCGUCACAUGGUUUGCUUAUAUGCCACUGUGAUGUAAUAAUGUCAACGCUCAACUUCAUAAGCUUUAAGUUUGUGGGUUUUGAAACUUUCAGGUGAAAAUUGGGCUUAGGGUUCUCACGCGUCCCAUGGCAGACCAGUUACCUGAAAUCUACAGAUCCCUUGGUGAGAACUACAGCGAGAGAGUUCUGCCUUCCAUAAUCCACGAGACUUUGAAAGCUGUGGUUGCUCAGUACAAUGCAAGCCAGCUUAUUACUCAGAGAGAGGUAUACAAGUGACUGUAAAUAUAUGAUAAUCUUUCCCUCUUUCUUAGUGAAGUUAACAAAGAUAGUUUUUGGGCUACUCUUAGGCGGUCAGUAGGGAGAUCAGGAAGAUUCUGACUGCACGAGCUGCAAACUUCAACGUCGCGCUUGAUGAUGUGUCCAUCACGACCCUGACAUUCGGGAAGGAGUUCACCGCUGCCAUUGAAGCAAAGCAGGUGGCGGCUCAAGAGGCUGAGCGAGCCAAGUUCAUCGUUGAGAAGGCUGAACAAGACAAGAGAAGUGCAGUUAUCCGUGCACAGGUAAAGCUGAGCUUCUCUACAAUUCCACUUAUCUAAAAUCUGAGACCGAAAUUGUUGUGUGACAACCUUGUCAUGGCUUGUGUAGGGAGAAGCCAAGAGUGCUCAGCUCAUUGGUCAAGCAAUUGCAAACAACCAAGCGUUUAUCACACUCAGGAAGAUCGAGGCUGCAAGAGAGAUUGCGCAGACCAUAGCAAACUCGGCGAACAAGGUGUACUUGAGCUCAGACGAUCUGUUGCUUAACCUACAAGAGAUGAAUUUGGAUGUAGAUGCAAAGAAGUAGAGAGGCUUCUUAAGUAAAAUCUCAUGUGCUUCAUGUCGUCUUUUCAAUUCCUCAGAUCCUUUGGAAGAAGAGUUCGAUUUGUAACCACUAAAAAACUUUUAAAAGUUGUUCUUGGAAUCACCUACCUCAAGGUGAAAAUGGGUCACCAUUAAAGAGAAAAGACUGAAUGAGUUAAUUGUAAUGAACUUGUCGUUUGGGGGAAAAAAAAAAGAGGUUUGCAUUUGGUUAAAUGAAAAAAGUGAUUUAUUUUUCCUUUCGAAAUAACGAGUGUCAAUUGUCAAAUGGCUAAUCUACUGCUUAAGACAUCCGAAGUCUGUAGGCGCUAUUUAGUUCUCUGCCGACAAGAUAUGAAAAUGAAUAAAUGUACCAAAAGACAAGGGAGAUCUUUGUACAUUUUUUCACGAUCAGUCCAAGGAAUUUAAAUUGUACAAAGCAAAUAAAAAAGGGGGAGAAAAAAAAUUAUGACAAAAAGAAAAACAAGUUACGUAUUUAAGUUUGCACAGUAACUUUUAAGUUAUUUUCAAUGUAUGUUUAUGUAGUAAUAUGAAGUAUAAUGCUUAUAUACCCUUUCUCUUAUUUUACGACCGUUGAUAUAAAAUUUGAUUUUCUUUUCAAGGGAUAAAAGGUUGAGAGUCAUGAGCCAAAUGGUUCUGUAUCCCGGUCUGAUUAAACGAGAUAAGAGCCGGAAUAUUGUGAUAAUACUCACCGGCUCCGGCCGUUCCCCCUCCACCGCCGUUGCUCUUGACGUUACUGUUGUUAUGAUGAAGAUGGUAAUGAAGGUGUCGGCCACUACUUCCACCGAGGCCUUGGAGGUAAGGUCGGUCUUUAGCCGUGGCUGCUGCAGCGACUGAGCCACCACAUUGGCGUGGUUGAGUCUGGUAGAAGACUUUGGAGACGACGAGCUCUCCUUCUUUCUCUUCCUCGUUGGUACCAAGAUGAUAUUGAUGCAUUACCCAAUUAGUCUUCUCGGGCUUUUUUUGUUUGCCGUAGUUUGUGUAGAGCACUAGGAUUUUCUUGUAGCCUCUCACUCUUCCACCGGCUAGAACUGGCCGUGUUUUGCCGGUUUUGUGCCACCGUGUCUCGCCACCAACUUCGGAAUCAGUGUGGACUUUACGUCGUUUUCUUGUUCCCGUCGUGUAUGCCUUCGACGGCCGGUGGAAAAAAUGACGGACAGUCCCGUCCUUGUUCACUCCUAUAUAUAUAUAUUCAACGACUAAUUAGCAUUCAUCAAACAUUUUCUUCUAUUUAACCUUUUUAUCAAAUAUCAUUCAAUUAUUAAUUUUCAACAUAUUUUUGGAGUUUUCACUAAUCAUAUACUAGCUAGUGGAAACAAAUAACAAAAUUUGAUCAUCAACCCUAAUUAUAAUUAAUGCUAUUAUUUGUAUGUAACAUAUUUUUCAGAUGGAUGGCACUAAAUCUAUAGAAAUCAAACAUUAAAUUAUUAAUGUAUAGAAAAAUAGUAUACACUAUACAAGAACAAUAGAUAUGUAAUCAAUCUUUUAAAGUAUCAUAAAAGUUAUAUAUGUUCUUUUUCCAUGUCAGAUUAUUUAGAUCAUAUGAAAAUGAAAAAUAUAAAUAUAUACUAGAUUCGGACCCGCGCUACAGCGCGGGGGAAAAUUGUCUGGUUUUGUUUUUUGUUUUUUUCUUUCAAAUGUCGAUUGUAAAAUUUGAUGUUUUAUUUUAAGUAUGUAAUUGUGUUGGGUUGGAAAAUUUAACGUUUAAAAUAGAAUAUGAUAGCGUGGUUCCCGUAUGAGCUUAAUUUUCCGAUGUUUUGAAAAUGGCAUUUGGGGAUAAAAGAUUGUUGGUGUUAUACAAUUGAAACAUUUAUUAAGUUAAUGUGGGUUUAAUAAAGUUUAUAUACUCAAGUUAGUAACUAAUUGUAUGUAAUAUUUAUAACAUUAUUAAGCUAAACUGUUAUUUUGCUAAGUAAUAUUGAUGAAGUAUGUGUUUAUAUUUCUAAAUUGAACCUUUAGUAGGUUUGUAUCAUCAUGUUGACAACAAUUUAUAUUUUUGUUCAUGUUUACUUUUUUUUUACCAAUAUUAACGAUGGCUUCUCAAAUCCUUAUUACGGAAACACUAAGACUAUCUCCAAAGAGGGAUCCUUAAGUCAAAAUUAGAAUUUAUGUUGAUUUAAAAUAAAUGUAAAUGUAAUUAAAUGAUAAAGAGCGCUCCUUAUUAAAAGACUUUAAAAAGCGGUUGCUAAAGGACGUGGCAAAAUAAUAUUGGUUGUGGCAAACAUACAUUUUUUNNNNNNNNNNNNNNNNNNNNNNNNNNNNNNNNNNNNNNNNNNNNNNNNNNNNNNNNNNNNNNNNNNNNNNNNNNNNNNNNNNNNNNNNNNNNNNNNNNNNGUCUCUCUCUUCUCUCGCAUUCCUCUCUUUUUCUUUCUCUUUCUUUAUUUUUCUCUCUCUCUUUUAUUUAAUUGUAAUUUAUAAUAAAAUAUUAUUAUACACAUUUUUUAAGGGUUCAAGGUUGGAGAUGCCCUAAUAAAUUAAUAUUGCCUAAAUCCACAUUUUAUAAUAUAAAAGUUUAGGUUUUGUUGACAAUUAUGAAGCCUUUUUGUUUUCCAUAAUAAGAACAAUUAAUAAUAACUGUGGGCUUUUGGCCCAUUACUGAAUUUUAGUGGAUGAUGUUUACCCAAUUUAUUUAUUUUUUUCAAUCAAAAUUGUCUUGCAGUCAGAUUUUGUCGUUAUUGAAAUCGAAAUUUAGGAAAAUCUUGGUUCGUAAUUCUAGGAGAUACGAAAAAGUUGUUAUAUUAUUCACUUAGUUACUAUAUCAUACUCAAUGCUGUUGAAAUUACGCUUUAAUGCGUAAUAAUUAUUGAAGGAAAGAUAUUAUGAAUAUUCGUAUAGUUGUUAGGUAAAGUUCUUGGAAUAUUCUGUUUUUUGGUAUAUUGAAAACGCACGAGACAGAGAAGUCGCUAGUAUAACUAUCUAAGGCCAAGAAGAAGGCCCAAAACAUUAUUAGCUUUUAAUGUCCGAUUAAUAUAGCAAUAACUUCCGUUCAAAUUUUAUUGAGAAGAUCCGAUUUGGAAGUCGGAUUUUUUUUUUAAAACCGACCCGAGAGAGUAUUUGUACUUCUCUUUUACUAUAGUAGGGAUUUUCUGUUAAAAUUAUUUAUUUUGCUGUCAUUAAUUCUGUUUGGUUAUAGGUUUAGGAUUACAUAAAAUGUUAUUUUUAUUUUUAAUUGUGUUUGGCUUUCAAGAUAAAUAAUGCUUUCCUUUUAAUAGUAUAGAUAGCUCAUGUAAACAGCAAAAUUGUUGAUGAUUGAACAACAUAGAAUCACCUGGCAAUUUCUCAGGAUGGGUAUAACAGAUGCCGUUUUCACCAUCGAUAGUACGGAUGAACUCAUCGAUGAGAGGAUGAAGCUUUCUUGCGUCGUCUUUUACCUUCCCCUCAAGAUGUUCCAGUACCUCUUGAUCCGUCGGAUCAAAUUUCACUCCGGCGGGCAGUCCCGGCAAGUCAUGGAUCCCGGCCUACAUAAAUUGGGUUUUUGAUUACUCAUGAUCAACUAAUAGAUAUCAAUGAUCAAACAGUUUCCAAAUGUAGAAACUAGAUGUAGCUAGCUAGGUAUUGAGAGAAACAAGAACCUGUUCAUGAAACUUGAAGUUAUGGCCACAAGAAGGACAAGUUUUGUGGCUUGAGACCGGUAAUGAGGCUCUGGGAGACUCAGCCGCAGUCGGGGAGGGAAUGAUUCUUUCAACGGUCUGAACAUCGUUACGGUCAUUGCACCAAGUCAUGUUGUUUUAGGUAUCCAAGGUUCCUCUUGUGCAUAUCUCUCUUUCUCCUCUUCUUUCACUGCUCACAACUUCGUCAAAAUAAACAAAGGCAUGAGAGAGGAAGAGAGGAAGAGAGGAGGGAAAAAGAGUUAAAGUUAGCUAAAGCAUAUGUAUCCUAAGAAGAACUCUUUGAGGUUAUCUUGAGAAGGAGGAAGGAAUUGAAUUCUUGUUCAUCACUUUUUAAGUUGAGUUAAUUGGCCUUUUUUGCACUUGAUUUUAACUUUGUACUAUCCAUGAAAGAGAGAGAGAGAGAGAGAGAGAGAGAGAGAGAGAGAGAGAGAGAGAGAGAGAGAGAGAGAGAUGAGGUAAGCCUAAAAAAUUUAUUAUUUAAACCUCAUUUUAUAUUGUGUACAAAUGUACCAUUACUCUACAUAGUAAGAAAUUAUUAUUUAGAGCUAGACUUAAUUAGUUUUGUUUAAUAAGUAUAUUUGUAGAAACAUACAUGCUAAGUAACAAUGAGAGGAAGAGGUACACCUACAACUCAACUUGAAAGUGAAGUGUAAUAUAUAAUUGUGAAAUUUCAAUCUUUUGAUUUACAUGUAACAUUGAUCUUUUGCCAAAAAAAAACAUGUAACAUUGAUAAAUUAUAUAUUGGAAAUUUUCUUCUUCUUGUUUUUUUUACAAGUUUACAAUGCAUAGUUGUAUCUUCUAUAGUUAAAAGCAUUAAAUUAAAAACUUCAGAUUCUUUCUGAAACUGCAAUGUGAUAUUCUGAAUAAACUAAUGGAUGAUUAGAAUUAAGAAAAAAAUAAAUAAAGGAGAUUGCUUGGGUUUUAAGUUUGGUUUGGCUUCUACAUCGCAUGUAUGGUGUGUGAGAGAGAAAGAGACAAAGACGACUGAUCAAACAUCUAAAAUAUAUGAAAAACAAAAUCUUGUGAGAGAAUAUAUAUGUAUGAUGUUGCCUUUUUUUUUCUUUUUGGGACAAACACAUUCUUAAUUAGGUUAAUUAAUUAGGUUUCUACCUUUGGUCGUAUUUUGUAUGUAUUGAUCUUUAUAUUCAAUAUAUUAAUUUGGUAAUUUACUGAUAUUUAGGAUCUAAAAAUGAGUAAUGAGAUGGCGUGGUUUUGGAGGAAGGUGUUGUUGCUGGUUCGUGAGGGAUCAGACGUGAUAGGGUAGAACCAAAAAAAAUAAGAAAGAGAAGUUAAGGUCCAAUGUCACCCUAGCGUGUAUAUAAAGAUAUUAUAAAUCACAUAAGCUUAUACUUAUAAUUUACACAUCUGUGUCUUACAUAAUUUUUCUUGUCUCAAUGUCUCCAUCAGUAUUUACUGAAAUCAUAUACUCUAUACGAGUACUGACUGAUAUACGUAAGAAAACAUUAAUAAAAACAUUGAUAUUAUUUCCGAUGGAUAUUGUACACCUCGAAUAUAGUUUUAAGUCGUGCAGAAGUAUAGUUUUAGUAAUUAGUUUCUCAUUUUUUUCCCUUUUAAAUUAUUGGUUAGUUUUAACUUUUGUGAAAUAAAUCAAUAAUACUCUAGAGAAUAAAGUUAAAAGCGAUAUAUGCGUAUAAUUAUUUAUUUUUGAAAUCUUACGUUUAUUGUCAAAAAUAGUUAUGAUCACGUCAAGAUAACAACUCUCAAAAUCGCAAGAAAAACAUAUCCUUGAAAUACAAAUUAUAAGUAGCAUGUCGAAAAAUGAAUUAACAUUUAACACUUUGUGGCAUGAAUUUGUAAGUGAAGUUGAGAUGGAAUUGUUAUAUACCGAGGUUGAUGAAUAAUAUAAAAGUAAGAAGCUAUUUUUUAUAUAGAUAAAAAGAAAAAGAAAGUUUAAAAAGCUAGUCAUUAUUCUAUUUCUUCACGUAGACUUUUCAUGCAUAACAAGGAACCUCAACCUUUAUUUUUAAAACUUUUCUCUUUGUCGUCUGAUUUUGUUUCUGGUCUCUCAUGUGAAUUGUAAACACAUGUUAUACUACCUUUUCUAAUCAAACUAAACAAAAUUUAUGAACAAACCGGUUCUCUAAGACAGUGAAUAGUAUGCUGCAGCUAAAACCCACAAUUGUAGAGUUCCUUAGAUGUGAGGUGGGUGAUGGUCGCUCUGCUUCUUUUUGGUAUGACUCUUGGACAGAAUUUGGUCAGCUUAUAUCUUACCUUGGAGAAGCUGGACCAAGAUUACUCUGCAUAAGGAAAGAUGCAAAGGUUGUAGAAGCAACGAGAAGUGGUAAUUGGGUUUUUCCGGCAGCUAGAUCUGAUAAUUCCCAAGCUUUAAUGGUGGCAUUAGCAGACCACUCUCCACCAGAAUCUAGCAAAGGCCGAGACGCUUUCCUGUGGCGCAAUGCUUCAGGUAAUUUCAUCCCAUCUUUCUCUUCAAAGGAAACUUGGGAGCAGUUGAGAAUUCAUUCACCUUUGGUUCCAUGGGCUGAUGUGAUAUGGUUUAAAGAGCAUGUGCCACGUUUCUCCUUUGUUAGUUGGCUGGCUUUGAUUGCUCGUUUACCCACAAGAGAUAGACUACGAAGGUGGGGCAUGAAUACCCCUGCCUCCUGUGUUCUAUGCUCUAAUGGGGAAGAAAACCACAAUCAUCUCUUCUUUGAGUGCACCUUCUCCUCAAGCGUCUGGGGUUUUUUUGCAGCGAAGUUCAUCUCCUUUCCUCCGGCCACCUUGUCAGCAGCGUCUUCAUGGAUCCUCCUCCACAAUCUGCCGCAAAACACCAAACUCAUCUCCAUCCUCAAGCUCCUCCUUCAGACGGUGGUCUAUCACCUUUGGAAAGAGAGAAACUCUCGAUUAUUCACCGGUGUUGCAUCAACCGCUGCAGCUUUGCGGCUUAUCAUUGAUCGUACAAUGCGUAGUCGGCUUCUCUCCUUUCCAGGACCUAGCUUGCUUUCUUCUUCUCUCCUUGCUGUUUAUUUUAGUCGUCUUAGUUAUCCGUUGUAAAGUAAUUCGUCUAGUCUGUCUCUUGUUCUCGUGCUAAUGGGUUAGUUUUUGUAUCUUUAGGUUGUAAUAGCUUUGGCAAUGAAAUCUUCACAUUAAAACCAAAAAAAAAAAAAUUUAUGAACAAAAAAGUUACACUUGUGUGUCUCUUCGGGAAAUUUUUGUGGUUAGCUUGUUGUUUUCAUGGGUGGAUCGAAAGCGCCGCAAGGUGACAUUCAAGAAAACCAGUAACAAAACCAAUUAUGACAUUACUUGCAUGUUCUUGGAAAUUUAGCAUAUACAAUUUAUAAUGGCACUAUUAGAUUACUUUAACUUACAAAAAUAUGUAAUUCAAGAAUUUCAACUAAAAAAAUAAAAAUAAAAAAUUCAGGUCCCUGGAAUGCAGGAAUAACGAUUUGUUGUUAAAUCAAUGUUGGUUACAAACAUGAAACAUUACAUAAGUUUAAAUAUAUAAUAACCAAACUUAGUAAUAAAUAGCAUAUCCCUUUAUACUAGGAUUAUCAAGAGCUAUUACCUAAUUAGAAAGCUCUAUUUUUCUGUUUCUUGAUAUCUUACAAUUCAACUUAGCUUAGCAUCAUAACAUCAAAUCGUUAUUCCCGGCCCAAUCCAAACUCGGCCCAGUAUUAUAAUGCUCAAACGCUGUUUAAGUCUUCUGUGUAGUAUGGAGACAGUUUCCCACCACUCUUUUUAGACGCGUUUGGACUGCUACUGGAAACAGUACCAGGUACUUCUUGAAGCAUGAUCACAACUUUUCUCAUGGAAGGUCGGUUUAGAGGGAGAGGACUCAUACAGAGAAGACCAAUGUGUAUGACUUUGCUAAUCUCUUCUUUAAACCUGAGAUCAAGUUUUGGAUCUAUAACAGAUUCUAAACCGCAUUGGUCAAGCGUAGAGCACACCCAUUUCCCCAAAUCUUUUUCUCCAAGUUCUUGAUCUGUUGGUUGCUUCCCUGUAACCAAUUCCAAAAGCACCACACCAAAGCUGUAGAUAUCGCUCUUUUCAUUCACCCGAAGUGUGUAUACAUACUCUGCAAAAUUUAAAACUCGGAAUAUAAGUUGGAAUGUUAAAAGAAUGCAGUUGAAUUGUAUCGUUUCAUUCAGAUGGAUUUCUCUUGUAACUUUAUGGUAUUGUUUUGGUAAAUACCUGGUGCAAUGUAACCGCAAGAACCAGCGAUCCCGGACAUAGCUUCUGGCGUUUUGGAACCGCUCAUCUGACCAAUUUUUGCAAUCCCAAAGUCGGCAAUUUUGGCUCUGUAUUUUCCAUCAAGCAGUAUAUUACUCGACUUCACGUCGCGGUGCACAAUCGGAGGAACGCAAUCAUGGUGCAAGUACGAUAAACCCUCAGCAGCGUCCACAGCGAUUCUUAACCGCUCUGGCCAACCCAACAACAGCCGGCCUUUGCGUUCAUUGUGCAACACAUCAGCUAAGCUCCCAUUAGGCAUAUACUCGUACACCAACAACUUACAAUCACCGGAGCUGCAACAACACCACAAACGCACGAUACUCUUAUGCCUAAUCGUUCCUAGUGUUUCGACUUCCGCGGCAAAAAAGUCUCUGUUCAACGAAUCGCUGUAUUCAUCUCCUCCUUUAACAGUUUUGUUAAGUUUCUUCACAGCUACUACUUCUCCACCGCGAAGCUCCACUUUGUAGACUUUACCGGAGGAUCCAAACCCGAUCACAUUCCGUUCAUCAAGACAAUCAGCGAUUUCGUGCUCACUGAAAUGAAGCUUGUGAAAGGAUCUCCAUUUAGACGCUGCGAGUCUAGAGCUCUUUAAAGCUCUGAGCUUUCUACACUUAGCAACGAACAUAACGACCCCAACAACGAAAACCAAACCCGCAAGUGUGAAAAUCGAUAAGAGAAUCCAGACAUAGCCAAUGUUUUUAGACCGCGUGAUCUUCUGACAAAGACCAUCAAGAUCAACGCAUAAACCGGGAUUUCCAAUAAAGUCAUGUGCGUAUAUUUUGUCCCUGUACAGAAAAGGAAUGUUACCGGAGAGGCGAUUAUACGACAGAUUGAGAACGUUUAGCUUCAGGUUCUGCAGUUCCACCGGAAUCUCACCGGAAAAUUGAUUGUUGGAGAGAUCGAGGUAGUUAAGAACAGGCAAGAUUCCGACUUCUUUAGGGAUCUCACCGGAGAGAUGAUUAUUAGCCAAAUUGAGCUCAUUUAGAUUCUUCCAACCACGAAUCCCUCUAGGAAUCUCGCCGGAGAGUUGAUUCUUACUGAGAUCAAGCCUACUCAAUUGCUUCAACUUCACCAAGCUACCAGGAAUUACACCAUUGAAACCAUUCUCCGCUCCGGAGAACUCGAUCAGUCCCUUAAGCGAUCCGAUUUCGUCGGGUAUGGAACCUAAAAAUCGAUUCUUUGAGAUUCGUAGGUUUGAUAAAUUCUUCGCACCGAUGAUCGUCUUAGGAAUAACUCCGGUGAAUGAAUUUUCUGAGAGUUCGAGCAGUGAUAAGCGAGGCAAUCCCCAGAACUCGUGAGGUAUGUUACCGGAGAGCUUGUUGUUACUCAAUCGGACCCGAGUCAAGCUCUUGCAUUUUCCUAGACUUUGCGAGAUUUCUCCUGUGAACGAAUUGUCUAUAAGAAUUAGAUACUCCAGUUUCCCUUCGCCGCAGAGAUUCGCCGGUAUUUCGCCGGAGAAUUGAUUGUAUGAUAGGUCCACGUACUGUAACGGAGAGUUUGCGCCGAGUUGACUCGGUAACGUUCCGGUGAGUUUGUUGUUGAAUAGCUUGAGUUCGUACAAGUUUUUGGAGCGAGUUAUGCUCUCCGGUAAGGGACCUUCAAGCAUGUUUUCGAAGAGAUUGAGUGAUUCGAGGUUUAACAGAUUCAAUCCGUCGGGUAUCUUACCUCUAAGCUCGUUCGUCGACGCGUCGAAUCUUUUUAGCGUCGUCAUGUUACCCAUAGCUUCUGGUAACUCGCCUGAGAACGAGUUGUUGAAUAGUUCGAUUUGCUCGACGCUGUUCAGCUGUGUGAUCCAACUUGGGAUUGAUCCAGUGAGUUUAUUAAAUGUCAAAUCCAAGUUAACCAAACGAGUCAAUUUAGAUAGAGCUGAAGGUACCGGACCGACGAGGUUGCAGCCGGCGAGCCAGAGAACUUGAAGCUCUGUGAGGUUUCCGAGUUGACUUGGGAUAAGACUCGGAGAAAACAAAUUGUAAGCGAGUUUGAGUUCUUUGAGAGUCGAGACGUUGCCGAGCGUGGCGGGGAUUGUACCGGAGAGUAAAUUACCGGCGAGGUCUAAAGACUCGAGCUUUUGGAACUCUCCGAAGCUCGCCGGAAUCGUGUCUGAUAAGUUGUUACCGGAGAUUUCGAGGAACUUGAGGUUCGGGAGAUUGGAAGGAAGUGACUUUGGGAUGGACCCGACCAAAAGAUUCUCCGACAAAUCGAGAUAUUCGAGAUUACGACACGCCGUGAAGUCAUCGCCGGAGAGAGAACCAUUGAUGGAGUUGUUAGCAAGAGAGAGAAAGGAUAGAGAAGGAAGACGACAGAGGAUGGAGGGGAAAGGACCGACGACCAUGAAGCUUGAGAGAUCGACGGAGACGACGGAUGAGAAAGCGUCGCACUUGACGCCGUUCCAUUGACACGGCGUGACGUCGUUAUCGGACCAUGAAGAAAGGGACUGAACCGGGUCUGAUAAACUCAGUUUGGCUUGCCGGAGAAUGGUGGCAUCUUGGUUUAGAGAUAGACUUAGAUACGUGGAGGAGAGACAUAGGAGGAGAAUAAGACAAUAAAGCAUUUUUGUUAUAAAAAAAAAAGUUAUGGUUCUUUCAUGCUUUGGAUUUGUGAACAAAAACGAUAUUAUGGAUUGGUAAUUAUAAAGGGAUAUCUAGAAGCAAAAAGGGUAAUGGUCACUGUGACAAGACAUGGGUGAGACAUGUUUUUGAACAAUUCGGAGGCAAAUACAAUACAGUUCGAUGAUUUUUAUAUGAAAUCGAUUACAGAAUAAAGUACUACAUAUACAAAUCAUCUCCAAAAACAUAUAAAGUGAUAGAAAAAGAAACAUUUGGAUUCUAAUAGUUACAUAAAUAUACAUAGUGUAAUUUUUUAUUUAUAGGUAAAUAAGAACAUGUAAAUUAUUGUUCACUUCUUCAAUUAUUCGAAAAGAAAAACAAUGGUCAAUGGUCACUCUCUGAGUCAACUGUAAUGCUACUUUGGUCAACAUGAUGGAGAUACAUGGGCCAAGAGAUGCUGGAUCUAUGUUGACUUUUCUAGUUUGCAUAGAGGCUUCUGGAUUGGACUAAUGUUAUGAAUACAAACUACACAACUAGUGAUGGGAUCUAAUGUGGUUUUUGUGGAACGUAUAUCCUAUGAUUUUACUGUGUAUCGAUCUAAAAAAAAGUUGUUGAACCAAAAACCUAAAACAUACAUGAUCUCCCAACCCUAGAUUGAACAGAUAAUUUGAUGUGAUGGGCAUACGUUUGUAAAGCCGAGUGUGUAUACGUAGACAAGGUCAACUUUGGUUGGUCGGGAAAAAACAUGAUCCAACAGUAAUUUUUUGUUAGAUUACUUUCAUUUCAAUAAGAAAAGCAACAGUCACUUUGAUUUUGAAAAAAAACUACGAGAUUUAAGGGGGGAAAAGAGAGAAAAUGAUGGAUCUUGUCUUUAGCUAAUCUGUGAUCGGAUAUCACGAGUUUUUGCGAUGGUUACAACGCACUAUGCAGUAUGAUGUAACUUCAAGUCCAAUAAUGUUUUGGUCUUCUAACGAUAAUUACCACCACUCUUCCUAGUUUGCAUUCUCUUUACGUCUCCUCGAGUACGUUGCUUUUUUUUAAUGGUUUGGACUUAGUUUUAGUAAUAAAUUUAUAAUAACGAUAUGCUUCAAAAUCUUGUUAUUUUAGUGUUCCAAAAGAAAAUUGUUAGCUAUACCCAAAAACCACGUAAAAAAAGGUUAUACGUGAUAUAAUUUCGUUUUAUUAAAUCCAUGUUUAAUAUGGUUUGCAUGUAUACAGCAUGUAAAUUUUUUCAAAUGAAACAGAGAAUAGCAAAGUUUUCGUUUUUGAAGUUUUAUUAACAAAUACAAUUUUGAGUUGCAGGUCCACUUACCAACUGAUAACCUCUUUUAGCCGAAGAAUAAAUUCGUGCAUAGACCAAUCCAAUACAAUUCUUCAUGGACCAUACGUUAGACUUAGACACUAACUAGACUAGACAGAUUAUAAUUAAGCCACGUCAUUGAAGAGCACGAAACUUACAUUAUUUCGUAUUUUUUGGGAUCCUCCAUAAUCAUCAAUAAUUUAGAACCACUGAAUUAAUUUUUCUAUUUCAAGAAUGGCAAAGUAAUACCAUUGUAUUCUCUUAUCUUCAUGUAGUUUAAUAGACUUAUAGCAUUGCUUGUGUAAAUUAUAUGAAAUCACCUGUAAAUUUUUAUCACAACAAUAUCAUAGAAGUAUAUAUAUAAUCUUCAUAGUUGAUACUAAGGAAACGGUAACAGAGUUUUUUUUAAAAGUUAAAUCCUUUCUGUUACAAACCUCCUAUUUCUUGUUUCGUUACUCAAAUGGUUUUUACGUUUUGUUAUUGCUAAUCUUGACCUGCAACAGAAACAUAAAAAUGGAAGAACAGAAUAUCAACCUUGAAACCUUAACAACAACAACUCAACCGAAGCAGACACCAAAACAAAGAAAGAAAGAAAUCGAAACCCAUAAAAUCUUGUACAAUCCUUUCAUAUCAGAAUAAGCACCAGAGAGACAAAAAGGAAAAGAAAAGAAGAGAUACAUAAUCAUUUGAAAUUGCAGAUAUAAAAAAAUUCAGUGAUGGAAGAGACAAAGCAGUCAUUGAUAGCAUCUUUGCCGGCGGCACCAAGAAAGCCGAAGUCGAAAGUAGAGAAAUUUGCGAGGAAAACAUUCAAAGGAACAACUCAUUUGUCAAAUCUACUUCCGACCGGUUCGGUGAUGAGUUUUCAAAUAAUGUGUCCGGUCCUAACCCAUCAGGGUCAGUGUCCGACCAUCACCAGUCGCUGGCUCACCUGCUUCCUCGUCUUCGUAUGCGCCAUCUCUUGCUUCAUCUUCUCCUUUACCGACUCUAUCAGAGACCCAAACGGCAAGGUAAUAUACAUUUCUCUAUCACAUUUUAGCUAUUUUUAUAUUUACCAUUCGUAUGACAUAUCAAAACUCAAUGUUGUAGAUUAGGUACGGAAUCGCGACAUGGACCGGGCUAUGUGUGAUAGACGGAUCAAUAACUCUAACGGAUGAGGAGAAGGCAAAGUAUAAGCUACAGAUUCUUGAUUUCGUGCACGCAAUCAUGUCAAUGCUCGUCUUCUUUGCAAUCUCCAUGUUUGAUCAGAACGUAACCCGUUGUUUAUUCCCUGUUCCUUCCGAGGAAACUAAGGAGGUCCUUACCAGUUUGCCUUUUAUCAUUGGUGUCUUUUGUGGUGGCUUCUUCCUCGCGUUCCCGACACGCCGUCAUGGCAUCGGAUCCCCACUCACCAAAGAGUAACUUCAUACUCUUACACAAAAUGACGUAAAGUUUUAGUUAUCUUCAAAUUUUUGUUUCUGGAUGACAUGUAACGGAAUCUUGAAAAGAACUAUUCUUUAAAAAAGAUUUGAAAGAACUAUUCUGUAAAAAGAAGACUUGUUUAACAACACGAAAUUAAUGAAGAGGGGGAGAAUUCCCUAUAAAUCGUAUAUUACCAAAUGAUCUUAAUCUCCACACAUCACAAGACAGAAGCUUUAAUCAUUAUCACCCAAGAAGCUUCUUAAACCCAGCUUUCUGUUCCGCAGUUAAUCUCGCUGGAAACUUGAUAUUGAACUUGAUCCUCAAGUUCCCUUUCUUUGUCUGAUCUUUCUGAAGUGGCAUUCCCUCUUUAGGAACCACCUCUUCAUACUCUGGAUGGAUCACGUUGGUGACCGGGAUUGCAAGUGUACGGCCAUCAAGGGUCGUUAUGUUUGUGGUGUAGCCUGUCAAGGCAUCAGCUAGUGAGAUCUUCUGUGUGACAAUCAGAUCGUUACCCUCUCGAGUGAACACUGGAUGGGGUUUCUCGUCAAUGAUGAAUACUAGAUCCGCUGGAAUCACACCCGGAUGCUCAUUGCCUUUCUCUGGGAAUGUGAUCUUUGUGCCUUUCUUCCACCCGGGUUUCACUCCAAUUGUUAGAAUCUCUUCCACUUGCAUUGCCUUUCUGCAUUUAGCAGAAGAAAAAAGAUAAGAUAGAUAUUAGAUACUGUCAAUACAACAACUAAGGCCAGCUCAAAUCAAACAGGUAAUAAAGCAGGGGAAGUUUAUAUUCAGCAUUGAUCAAUACCUUCAAAAUGAUACUGGAAUAUAAUGCAUAAUGUUACAGAAACUAAAGCUUGAAACAAAAGUUUCAUAUGUCUUCAUACUUGGGAGGUUGUCUUUCAAAUCCAUGCCUUAUGUUAACUAGUAGAUAAGUCCAAUACAAAAACUUUCUAAGUGUGAUCGGAUUGGUAGCUGAGUUUGAUCACUUACCCGCUGACAUCUACAAUCUCCCUGGAGAUCUUCAUCUUCUUGGUGGUUCCUUUGUAGAGAUCUUCAAGGCUACAAGGCAACUUGUUCUCGAUAGGAGCCACUUUCCUAGCUGGAGCGUGAUGAUGAUGAUGGUGAUGAUGAUGCAUUGGUCCUCCUCCACCUCCUCCAUCACCAAACGAGGCAUACACAUCAUCACCAAACAUGCGGCUAGAGAACCUCGGCCCUCCGCUGCCACCACCUCCACCACCAAAGGGGGUCGAGAACCCGAAAAACUCAGCGAAUAUAUCAUCCGGGCUUCUCGGGUUGAAUCUGAAAGAUGAAGGUCCAUCUCCUGUUGAGAAGUAGGAAGCUCCACCAGCAGCAUUGGGAGGUGGCACGUUCCCUUUUAACCCUUCCUCACCGUACUGAUCGUACACCGCUCUCUUCUGAGGAUCGCUAAGAACCUACAAGAAGUCACAUCCAAAACAACAUCAGCCACACAUAAAAAACCUGAAUCAGUGUAAACAAUCUUAGUGAAAUUGAGUAAUAGAUAAGCAUAGGAAACACAAACUACAACUUUUGGGAUCCUAUUGGCUAAUUCGAUUCCUACUAUAGGACAGUGACCUCACAUAAUCUAGUUAGCCCAAAAAUAAAGCAAGUAUCUUUUAGUUUCAUACUAUGACUCGUAAACACGAAAUCUGGAAAACCCAAACGAGCUAACACAACACCAAAUCGUAAAAUCUGACUAAUUUGAAUCUCAAAUCGAAAAUUAGAAACAAGUUCGUGACCGCCGACAGAAUCACAGGAGGAGGAAAAAAAAAACUCUUUUAAGUACAAAUAAAAAUCAAAACUUUGAGGACGAUUUCAAUAAAGCAAAUCAUAAUUUUAAAUAGAGAGGCAGUGGUGAGGAAUCAAACACGAAAAACAUACAUCGUAGGCUUCAGAGAUCUGCUUGAACUUAGCCUCAGCGUCUUUUUUGUUGUUAGGGUUCUUGUCGGGAUGCCAUUUCAUAGCGAGUUUUCUAUAAGCUUUCUUAAGGUCAUCGUCGCUGGCGCUUCUAUCAACCUGUAGAACCUUGUAAUAAUCAACUCCCAUCUCACCUUCUUCUUCUUCUUCUUCUCUCUUUCGCUUCUUCACUUUUCCUGAAUCCGAUUAAUCAGCAAAGGUCUUUGAUUGAUUGAUUUUUUUUUAUGUGUUCCUUCUUCUUCGUCGUCUCUAGUCUCUUCGUCUUCGGCUUUCGAUGGUUCUUAGUAGAAAAUCUCGUGGAAGGUUCGAGAAAACACGAUCUCUCCGUUGACGGGGAGGUGACGGUGUUUUUAAUCACAGCUUUGCCCUCUUUUGGCUCUUGCCUUCUCCAUUUUUUCCCUUUAAUUAUCGUUGAAGUUUUUAGAUUCUCCAUUUAUGUAAGAUAAAAAUAAAAAUUAAUUCAGAAAAACAAUUAAAUGCUAUUUCCUUUUUCAUUAUCUAAUAAGUUUUGAGUUGGACAAAUAUUGCGAAAUUUAUCUAAAAAAGCCGUGUAGAAUAAGACAUGUAACGUAUUUAAUUAAAUGUUUGUAAUUAUAUUGUCAAAAAAAUAUAAGAAAUUUCAAGUGUUUUUUUUUAUAGAGAUUUUAACCCAAAAAAAUAGACCAUACCAGAUAAGUAAGGCCCAAUAGUAGCUCAAUAAAUAUGGGCCUCAAUGGAAUUCUUGAUGGAGGGGUAAUCUUCUCCGGUAUAAGUGUUGCGACUUUUUUUUCUUUUGAUAAAUUGUUUUUUCUAUUUUCUACAGUUGAACCUUUGUGCUUGAGUUCCCCCAUAAGAAAAAGAAAAGGCAUACUUCUUCUUCUUAAUCUCUUAAACGUGCAAUUUUCCGACUUAGGGUUUCGGCGAGAGCUCAUAAGUAGAAGCUACUCGAUCGUUUCGGAUUUCGAUUAUCAUUGUUUGGAUUCCUCGGGGUUUGAUCGGGUGUUAGUCUGACUAAAAUGGCUCCAGUUCCGGAUCCGAACAGUGUUGCCGGUGGUGCGAAGCGGGAUGAAGCUACGUUGAAGGUUCCUUCUAAGGAUCCCAAGAAGAAGGAUGAUAAAAAGGAAGAUGAUCUGGUGAGCUCUCUUUGCUUCCGAUUUUGCUUUCUCUUUUGUAUCGUGCUUAGCUGAAAGACUUUGCUGGAUUUAUUUAGUAUCGGAAGUAAAUUUCACGAUUGAGCUGUAGGUUUUGCCAGAUUUAGGGUUUAGUUGAUAAUCUGUUCAUUGGAUUUGAAUGCUUCGUAGAUUGAAUGCCACAUUGCUAUUUAAAAACCGGGAUUACGAAGUUGGUAAAAGUUCUUGGAUAUCAAAAUUCUUGUUAGGGUUUACUCCUGUGGUAUUUUGUAUAGGUAUAUCCAUUAGCCAGUUUUGUAUAUAGUUUGAUUGCUAGCUGACUCGGUUUGUAUAUGAUGUCAUUGCAGUCGGAAGAGGACUUGCAACUAAAGCAGAACCUGGAGCUCUAUGUUGAGAGAGUUCAGGACCCCAAUCCUGAGUUGCAGAAAGCUGCUCUUGAAAGCAUGAGGUAAUUCUUGUACCUAUAAACAUUGGCUGUAAAUAUUCUGAUAAUCUUCGUCGGAAUUUGUUUUAUGGUCUUGUGGUACUUCUUUUACUGCUUUUAACUACCUUGUUCAUUUUUUCCUUUUUAUUCGUAGUCUAAUCUUGAUUCGGUCUGUAGGCAGGAAAUUCGUGACGCAACAAGCUCCAUGACAUCAGUUCCAAAACCCCUCAAGUUUCUCCGUCCUCAUUAUGGAACUCUCAAGGAAUUUCAUAUAAAAAUGGCGGAUUCUGAUCUCAAAGUAAGUUUUCAGACAUUUUAAGUAAUUUCUCAUCAUCACCUUCUUGUUCCUUCUACUGAGUAUGGAUUAAGAUCAAAAUCCCUGUUUCUGCAGAAAAUGUUGGCUGAUAUACUUUCUGUCCUGGCAUUGACCAUGUCUGCUGAAGGUGAAAGGGUAUGCUUUCUUUCUAUUGCUGUAGGAGUUUCUUACCUAUUGCUAUUUAUUUCACUUUCCUUUUUGUUUUCCUCUUCGGAUAUGUCUUACCAGAUUUGUGGUUCUUGGUAGAAUUUGACGAAGUUAUUUGUUGCUGAUCCUACGUUAUACAAUACUGUUUCAGGAAAGCUUAAAGUAUAGGUUGACUGGAACAGAGGGUGACAUAGGAUCUUGGGGUCACGAGUAUGUCAGGAAUUUGGCCGGAGAGAUUGCAGAAGAGUAUACAAUGCGUCAGGUUAGAAAAAAAUUUGUUCUUUGGCAAUGUUCUUUCACUCCAAGAGUUUUACUCCUAUUAUAGAAACGUCAUGAAUCUUUUGUUUUCUCUGCUGGUCUGUUGAUGAAUUUUAUGACAAUAUGUUUUUUAUUUUGGUUAGAAUCGUUACUGAAAUAUGGUUAUAUGCUCAUUCUUUCUUUAAUGUCAGGGUGAAGAGUCCUCUAUUGAAGACUUAAUGGAACUUGUGCGGCAAAUUGUUUCUUUUCACAUGAAGGUGAGAUCCUUACAGUUUCGUGGUCCGAUGGCCCCUUAUAAUAAGAAGGGGUUUCCAUUGUAUAUCUAAAUUAGUAAAUGUUUGAUUGAUAGGCUUGAAAAUUUCACCUCUUAUUUUUCCCAUCUUUGAAGCUUUCCAUUUUGUUCUUGCAGCAUAAUGCUGAAACUGAAGCUGUUGACCUUUUAAUGGAUGUUGAGGAUCUUGAUCUCUUACUUGAGCAUGUUGACAGCACAAAUUUCAGGAGGACGUGCAACUAUCUCACAAGUGCAGCAAAGUAAAUCCAUUAUGUUGAUCUUAUUCAUUUGACAGGCGAUUUCCUUCAUUUAUGGUUUUAGAUCACUCAUACUGUUAUUUACAUGAUCCCUUUGAUAUUGUAUGUAUUUGUUCAGGUAUCUUCCAGGACCAGAUGACAUGUUGGUUCUAGAUAUUGCUUACAUGAUCUACAUGAAGUUUGCAGAGUAUCCAAAUGCUCUGCAAAUUGCAUUAUUUCUUGAUAACAUGCAGGUAUGGGCUCUAAUCUUCAUAUAGAACUUAAUAUACUCUUUCUGAAACAUGGGGAGAUCUGAAAAACACUCUCCUCUAACUUGUGUAUUUUUCUUGUAGUAUGUGAAGCAAGUAUUUACCUCGUGUUCUGAUUUGCUAAAAAAAAAACAGUUCUGCUACAUGAUUGCACGUCAUGUAAGUUCUUAAUAAAUUGAAUCAGCAUAAAGGCGCAGUACCCGAUGAUUUGUUUUCUUAUAUUUCUUUUUCUGUUGUUAUUUCUCCUUGCAGGGUAUCACCUUUGAGCUUGACCAGGAGAUGGUUGCAAAUAACGAUGACAAAGACGCCCUACAAGAUAUUGUUAACAACACUAAGUUGGGUGAUGGAUAUCUGACACUUGCUAGGGAUAUUGAGGUCAUGGAGGCCAAGACGCCUGAAGACAUCUACAAGGUUUAUCAGUUUAACUGAAUAUUACGCCUGUUACUGCUUUAUUUGGUCACAUGAUAUGUUCAUGUCAGUGCCUCUUACCUCAACUGUUCACUGAAAUUUUGCAGGCUCACCUGAUUGAUGGUCGAGCUAGCUCUGGUCCAAGUGUGGAUUCAGCUAGACAAAAUCUGUCUGCGACUUUUGUGAAUGCAUUUGUAAAUGCUGGUUUCGGUCAGGUAUGAUUACAGAAUCUUAUGGUGUGCAAAUAAGAAGAAAUUUGGAAGCUGCCUUUGAUAUACAGUAUUUCCUUAUUGCAGGACAAAUUAAUGACAGUACCAUCAGACUCAACUGGAUCGGCUGGAAACUGGAUCUUCAAAAAUAAAGAUCAUGGCAAGAUCAGUGCAACUGCUAGUCUGGUAUGCCUCUUCUUACUUGAUGAAUUGACUAGCUAUGGUCAUAUUUGAAGUAAAAACUGUAACAUUACCUUGUUGCUUCCCAAUUCUAGGGUAUGAUUCAUUUGUGGGAUGUGGACACGGGACUAUCUCAACUGGACAAAUAUUUGCAAGUUAGUGAUAAUUCCAUAGUCGCUGGAGCUGUGCUGGGAAUUGGGAUUGUUAAUUGUGGCAUCAAGAAUGAUUGCGAUCCUGUGAGUAGAUUUUAUUUUUUAUUCUAUGGGAGCGUGUGUGUUCAUUACUUUUUGCCAUUAAUUCUCACUCAGCUCUCUUUCUCAGGCAUUAGCGCUUCUUGGAGAUUAUAUUGACAAAGAGGAUUCAUCUGUCCGAAUUGGUGCUAUUAUGGGUCUUGGAAUUGCACAUGCGGGUUCCCAAAAUGAUGAGGUGAAUACAUGUUAUUAUUACCUAUAGUGCUUCGUUGAAUGUUCUGUUGACAAGACAAUAACCAUGCUUACUGUUUGGAUAGAUAAGAAACCGUUUGUCUCCAAUACUAAAUGAUGCAAAAGCACCUCUCGAUGUGAUUGCAUUUGCUGCACUUAGUUUGGGGAUGAUUUACGUUGGUUCGUGUAACGAAGAGGUGGCACAAUCUAUUAUAUUUGCUUUGAUGGAUCGGAGCGAGGCAGAACUGGAUGAAGCCCUCACUCGUUUCUUGCCUCUUGGACUUGGACUUUUGUACCUUGGUAAACAGGUAGGCAGGGAGUCGUACUUGAUAAUUUUCUUGUUCGUGUACCUGACUGUUUUUUCCAGCUUAUUAGUUUUAACUUGUUACAAUAUCGAGCAGGAAAGUGUGGAGGCUACUGCAGAAGUUUCAAAGACGUUCAAUGAGAAAAUCAGAAAGUAUUGUGAUAUGACACUUCUUUCUUGUGCAUAUGCUGGAACUGGGAAUGUCCUUAAGGUAUCUGUUCAAAUGUGCUAGUGAUUGAAUUAGAUUAUUCACUGCUUUCUAGUUUAGUCGCUGAUUCUUCAAAUUAGGUCCAAGACCUUCUGGCUCAGUGUGGGGAGCAUCUGGAGAAAGAUGAUAUUCACCAGGGUCCAGCUGUGAUUGGAUUAGCAAUGGUUGCUAUGUCUGAAGAAUUGGGUCUUGAUAUGGGGAUACGUUCUUUGGAGCGUGUGUUACAGUAUGGAGAACAGAAUGUUCGGCGGGCAGUGCCUUUGGCUCUUGGUCUCCUCUGUAUAUCAAACCCAAAGGUGAAUGUUAUCUUUGUGAAUCAAAUUUACUUUUCUACAUAAGAAUACUGCUGUUACUCUCUAAACUUCUUUAUAAUUCCAGGUGACUGUUAUGGACACCUUGAGCCGGCUAAGCCAUGACACAGAUUCAGAGGUUGCUACGGUGAGUUAGCUUUUUGCCACUCAUGGUUGGGUUAGUAGUUAUUUCAUUGACUUGCUAUGUGGCGUGGAUUGAUGUUUCAUCUGAUCCUACAGGCAGCCAUUAUCUCCCUUGGUUUGAUAGGCGCUGGAACCAACAAUGCAAGGAUAGCUGGCAUGCUUAGAAAUCUCUCCAGCUAUUAUUACAAGGAUGCCAGCCUUCUCUUCUGUGUAAUGUGUUAUUUUUAAUAUUUUUUUCCCAUGCAAGAAACAUAAGUUCAACUUACUCUAGGUUUGUUCUCAUUGUGUUACGUCCUAAUGCAGGUGCGUAUUGCUCAAGGGUUUGUGCAUAUGGGAAAGGGUCUAUUAACUCUCAGUCCUUUCCACUCUGAACGGCUAUUGCUAUCGCCGUAAGUGGUAGCGUAUAUUUUAUGAAUACUUGGCUUUCAAAGUUCCACCCUGUGAAUCCGUAACAUGGGUGUUGUGUUUUGUACCCAGAACUGCUCUUGCUGGUAUAGUGACAUUGUUGCAUGCAUGCCUUGACAUGAGAUCCAUCAUAUUGGGGAAAUUCCACUAUGUGCUCUACUUCAUUAUUUUGGCGAUGCAGGUGAGUGCAAUGUUCUAUCCAUGACUUUUUUGUAAUGGACUAAACAGUGUUUAUCUACUGACACAAUGCGGUUUGAGUGUGCAGCCAAGGAUGAUGCUUACAGUGGAUGAGAACCUGAAGCCUAUCUCGGUGCCAGUGCGGGUAGGACAAGCAGUUGAUGUGGUUGGACAGGCGGGUCGACCGAAGACAAUCACUGGGUUCCAAACACACUCGACACCUGUUCUCCUUGCUGCUGGGGAGAGAGCCGAGCUCGCAACCGAGAAGUAUGUUGUUCCUCUAAAGCCCGUGUGUUACAUUAUCAUACUCAAAACAAAACUGUGUGUUACAUUUCGGAAUCUCAAAAAAUCUGGUUUUGUUUUUUGGGUUUACAGGUACAUACCGUUGUCGCCCAUAUUAGAAGGUUUCAUCAUAUUGAAGGAAAAUCCAGACUACAGAGAAGAGUGAAUCCAAAGUUGGAAGUGCGAGCAUAUGAAAGAAAGAGAGCCUUUAAAUACUUUCACUGUGGUUUUAUGUGCACAGUCAGUUUUUUUCUUUCUUAGUUAAUUCGCGUCUGUUACAAGGAAAUGGUUCACAAUCUUUCCUUUUCAAAAAGAAAAACCGCUUCACUGCGUCAACUAGGAACUUUUUGUGCACUUUUAACAUCAUUCUAUUAUAUAGAUGGAUAAGUUUUGAAAUCCAAAAUCUUUAACCUGUCCUUGAAAUCAUCUACUUGUUAAUAGUUCUUAUUCCCUAUAAAAGGAGGAAAUAAAGUAAGCUUGGGCAUAGUGCUCUUUGGUUUGCUGCCAGGAAAAACUUAAAUCUCAUGCUUUGUACUCCAACUUCAGUUUAGCAAAGGCUCCUCUCGUUGUCUUGAGGAUUUGGCAAAAGCUCAAGUAAUAUAAUAAAAUGAAGAAAGGUGACCUAGCCGGCUACAUAUUACAUAUAUGGCGUGCACGACUCACUCGUUUCCCCCCUUCUGUCUUUUUCUUUUCUGUUUACAUAAUUUCGUUCCCAACUACCCACAAAAAUAACUCUCUCGUAUCGUAAAACCAGAAGUAUAAAAUCUUAUUAAAAAUUAGCAGCGACCAACAAAGGUAAAAUCAUGUACAUGUAUAUUUUAGCUUCUGUCACAAAAUAGUAUGUGAAGUUUGCCUAAAGAACUCAGAAAAAAAAACAAUAAAUAAAGAAACAAAUGAAUGGAAUACAGUUUUCACUGUUUGUUCAGGCCGGUAUAUGUAUGUCCAACCAAAAGGAAGAAAAAAGAAAGUAAUUUAAUGGCCACGACCUCUUGGACUCGGACCGGACGCCAACCGCUGAAACCACGAAUCAACCGUCGACUUCAUCUUCUCCACCGUUCCGUUCUCAGAUCUUUCCGUUAGAACCCUCCCCGCAGAAGCCUGUUCUACAACAAAAAACGCCACCAUCACCACCACAAUCAAAACAGUAGACCAACUAACUCUUCUCAUUUUUAUUUUGCUUUCUCUUCUUUUAAGUUUGUACCGACAAAGUAUUACCAAAAAGGAGAAGUUUUUUUGUUUGGUUUGGUUAUGGAAAGAAGACUCUAUAGGAGAUAUGGAUAUGUGGGAAUAAAAUGAUAAAUAAGAGGGAGUAGGAGUAUGUAUAUAUAUACAUAGUAACAAGGAAGCGGUCAUGAUGAUUCAUGACUCGAGAGUUCAUCACUUUAGGUCGGAUUUUCCCCGCGCUAGCUCACGAUUUCGCGUGUUGACCAAGUAUUAUGACUUGAACGGGUCGCUCCGCCUCCUAAACACUUACGUGAACUUACAUUUAUGUCCUCCCCCAUUUUGGUGUCACUGUGUGGAGUUUUUUUAGUUUAGUCAAUGCGAGUUUUUUUUUGUAAAAUAAAGUAUACCAAAUACAGCGGAGUUGUUGUUUUACGCGGUUACUAUUAUUAUUCAAAAAUACUAUAAAAGCUAACAACUACCAAGUUACCAACGUGCUGUUUUAUCGUAUUCAUCGUUUUUAAUAGUACUAUAGCUGUAUUAAGAUUAGUUCUAAUAUAUUUUUACUGAUAAGAAUAUAAUUUUUACUUUAAUUUAUUCAUUUAUAUAUGAAUUACAGGAUUUAUAUAUAUAUCACCAUAAACAAACAUAUAAAACUUUGAUUUUUGUUUCGAAAAGUCCUGGUUGAGUUUUGAAAAACUUCACGCGUAAAUCAAGAUUGACUAAUUAAAGUACUGCAGAGAGGACCAAUUCACAAUUUCACCUAGAUAAUUCUCUUAUCAGUUUAGGUAAUGGGGAUAAUGUAUUGUAAAAUAAUACAUUUCAAGUUAAUGUAAUAUAAAUUAAUUGCGUAUCAGUUGUGUUAGCUAGUAGGUAUUAGUGAUGAAGAAAUUAAAAUAUAUACUGAUAUACAAACGAAUUAAAGAACCAAGUAGACAAGUGUUUGGUAGGUAGGUAGGUUUAUUCAGUUUUAAAAAAACUUGGAAUUCUCAAGUGAUUUUUGGUUCAAUAUACUAGCUAGCUUGUAGUCAUACAAGCAUAUCUAUUUGAAAAGUGAUAUCUAAAGACUGUUUAAUUUUAAGAAACAUUGAUAUUCAAAACAUGCGAAUGUUGACUGUCCAACAAAUUCAAGGGGAUAGUCUUGUGCUACUCCUACCAAACUAAUACUAAGUAAAAAAAAGUCCUAUAUAUAUUGUAGUACAACAAAAUUCAACCCUCAUGUAUUUUGGGUAAGCUGAAUGAAUAUUCUGCUGAGUUUUAUUUACUGUGUCUUCGGAUCGGGUCAAAAUAGAUUAUAGUUUAUAAUCAAUUAUACUGAAUCGAUCAUAGUACUCUAGUUAGUGAUCUUAAAGAGGUUUACUUUUGAGAAAAUCUUAUGAAACACCAACCAGUUAAUUGAAUACGGAUCCUUCAUUCAUUGAAAUAAUAAUAUCUUGUUCUUCGAAAAUGCAAUUAAUUUCUGUUAUUUAAAGAAAAAGAAAAAAAAGAAUUACUUUUGCAAUUUGGGGUUGACAUUAGCUUUUGUGAUGGUUUUGGGCCAUCAUAGUAAAACGGCCCAUUAAGACAUAAAUUAUUGUCUAAUUAAGCCCAUCACAUAAACCUUCCAAAGCUUUUUCGUCUGCUUCAUCUCCUCUCCCAAAACCCUUCCUCUAGGUUUAGUGUUUCGCUGUCUGGAACGAUAUCUCUCAGUCACUCAAGUCUCUCCCCCCAAUAGUAUUCGCCGUGACCUUCUUUUCUAAUCGUAUACAAUGAGGAUUAAGACGUUAUCGAGAUCGAGUGAUGAAUUCACCCGAGAAAGAAGUCAGGAUCUUCAGGUAACUUUUGCAUACCAAUAAAAAACCUUAGGAUUCAGUGUCUAUACAUAUUCUAAUCAAUUUAUGUGAUUCCAGAGGGUCUUUCACAACUUCGACCCAAGUCUUCGACCCAUGGAGAAGGCUGUGGAAUACCAGAGAGCUCUUAAAGCUGCCAAAUUAGAAAAGGUAACUAUUUGCAAUUACCUCCCUUCAAAUUUUGUUCCUUUGUUUUAAUUUUUUUUGAAGUUUCAUUGUGGAGUUGUAUUGAUUGGUUUUGGAACAAUUUCUCAAAUUUGCAUCUGUUUUUUCCUUGUUCUGUAGAUAUUUGCAAGGCCGUUUAUAGGAGCAAUGGAUGGUCAUCGUGAUGGAGUCUCGUGUAUGGCGAAGAACCCGAAUUACCUCAAGGGAAUCUUCUCAGCUUCUAUGGAUGGAGGUAAGUAUAUUACCUCUUGUUUUCUUCUCCAAGUUUUAACACUUUUUUGAAACUUUGAUGAUGAUAAGAUCUAUGGAAAGGGAUUCAAUAGAUAUUGCAGGAAUCUAUAUGGUGAUUACUUGGUUUAUAUAUGGAUUAGUUGUACUGUUGUAGCAUUAAAGUAUAGGGAUAGUGCUCAAAGUUUGGUCAUUUUUAGUUUGCUGUAACUGGCACUAGCAAAUUAUGUAAUUGAUACUAUCUUUCUCUUUCUUCUCUGCAGAUAUUCGCCUUUGGGAUAUCUCUUCAAGGUUAAAAUCUUGAAAACUAAUUCUCUUCUGAACUAAUUUGAUCUUCAUUUAGUUUUUUUCUGUUUUUAAUUUCUAUGUUUUGUGUUUUGGUGAAUGAACUCUGGAAUUUGGAACAUGCAGGCGUACAGUUUGCCAAUUCCCUGGUCAUCAAGGUGCUGUGCGUGGUCUUACAGCGUCCACUGAUGGCAAUGUACUGGUUUCAUGUGGAACUGAUUGCACGUAAGAUAUGAUAAGGAUUUAAUUGUUUUAAAUUUUCCAGUCGUUGAUCAGAUUUUAGGCCGUCAAACUAAGGUGAAUGGAUUUCUGCAGUGUUCGUUUGUGGAAUGUUCCUCGUCCUACACUUGAAGAUUCUAGCGUUUCAUCUGAAAAUAUCAUUAAGGUAGUUCUUGUAAAAUUCUUUUUUUUUGUUUGUAAUAUUGUAUUAUCAUGUGCUUGCUCUUACCUUAUAUAACAACAAGCUUAUUACACUUAUUUUCAGCCAUCUGCAGAAUAUGUCUGGAAGAAUGCUUUCUGGUAGACUUCUUACACUUCAUUCAAUUUCUCAUGAUUCUAUCGGUCCAAAAAAACUUGAGCUACUUUUUUUUGUUUUUACUUAUUUCUAGGGCUGUUGAUCAUCAGUUUGAAGGUGACCUUUUUGCUACGGCUGGUGCUCAACUGGAUAUAUGGAAUCACAAUAGGUACUCAGGCUCCUGCUGAUAGAAUUUUUGGUGCAUGUUUUAAUUUAUUUUAAGUAGUACUUAAGGUUGUACCUUGUUGUAAUUAGGGCUCAGCCAGUUCAGAGUUUCCAGUGGGGAACGGACUCUGUAAUAUCUGUCCGGUUUAAUCCCGGAGAGCCUGAUAUAUUGGCUACAUCUGCUAGGUAAUAUACUUUCUACUUUCUACUUUCUACUUUAUACUUUUAUAUGUUAUGUGAUUGUCUGUGCUAGACCUUGCAGAGCUUUCUCUAACAUUAUAAGAGGAUUUCUCUUCUUCCAGUGACCGCAGCAUAACCAUAUAUGAUCUCCGCAUGUCUUCUGCAGCAAGGAGAAUCAUCAUGAUGGUAUAGUUGUAACUUGUUCAGCCAUUCUCGUCAUAUGAAUUCAUUUUUACUCUUCAAACUAAAAAUUGCAACUGUGGUCUGCAAAUUGCUUUUUGUUUGGCAGACAAAAACAAAUUCAAUUGCAUGGAACCCCAUGGAGCCUAUGAACCUGACAGCUGUAAGUGAUAAUCAUAAUGUGAAAUGUUCUCUGAUGAGUUAACAUUUGGUUUUUGCUUACGUGCUAAUUUCAACCCAUGGUAAACUGAAUAGGCUAAUGAAGAUGGUAAUUGCUAUAGCUUUGAUGGUAGAAAGUUGGACGAAGCCAAGUGCGUGCAUAAAGAUCAUGUUUCUGCAGUGUAAGAGUGAAGAAGGAUAAAUCCCAACUAUCAGAUAUAAUAUAUUAACAAGCUAUAAUAUUGAUCUAAUUUCAUCAUUUAUACAGGAUGGAUAUUGAUUUUUCACCAACUGGUCGUGAAUUUGUUACGGGUUCUUAUGAUCGAUCGGUGAGAAUCUUCCCAUACAAUGGAGGGCACAGCAGGGAAAUUUACCAUACAAAGAGGAUGCAGAGGUACGAUCUAGUGAACAACUCUGUAUAUAUUUGAAAUUCAGAUAUUCUGGUGUACCACCUUAUGAAUUUGUUUUAGGCUAAUUUUAUAUUUUAUUGCUAUCUUCUUGUAGAGUAUUCUGUGUCAAGUAUAGCUGUGAUGCUACAUAUGUAAUAUCAGGCAGUGAUGAUACCAAUCUCAGGCUAUGGAAGGCAAAAGCAUCAGAACAAUUGGGAGUUGUAAGAUUUUGUGAAUUUUCUUGUUACACUCACUAGCAUUAGAUUAAUUUAGACAAAACAAAAACCGAAGAAAAGUUACUGUAGGCUAAACCAUGGAUUCAAUAGUGUAUUACUGCAUAUGCUAAACCAUGAGAUAUUACUUGUACAUGCUCUCUUAAAUAUUUUCAACUUAGGAACGGUGAUUCUCAACGUUGACUGGUGAUUUGUGUUACAGAUUCUUCCAAGGGAACAGAAGAAGCAUGAGUACAAUGAGGCUGUGAAGAACCGGUACAAGCAUCUUCCUGAGGUCAAGCGCAUUGUGAGGUACAUGACAAAAAAAAACUGUAGUUUUAUCUCAUGUUUCUAACUUUGGAGAUUGUCAAAAGAUAACCGUAGUAACAUGGUAACGUUUUGGAUAUUGUGAAAUACAGACACAGGCACUUGCCAAAACCAAUAUACAAAGCAUUGGGGGUCAUCCGAGCUGUGAACGAUUCAAAGAGAAGAAAAGAAGAGCGAAGGAAAGCUCACAGUGCACCAGGAACAAUUGUCACAAAACCUCUGCGCCAAAGAAGGAUUAUCAAGGAAGUGGAGUGAGUUUAAUCUUCUUCUUUUUGUUCGUAUCACGGAAAAAGAUACGUUAGGUGAUUUUGUUGGUAUAGUGAGGGUAAGGUUAGGAACCUCUGCUAUAUGUUAUGCCCAUGUCGGGUUUUUUAGCUUCACUAACCAUUGUGUUCAUGAAUUACUCCUUUUGGGUGUUUUAAAGCUGAUCUUAAAGUAAUAAUUUGAUUUUAUGUGCUUACAGUUUCUCUUGACAAUGCCAUUAACUAUAGAUGAGAAUAUGAGAUAUACAAUGAAGUGCAUAACUGGCUCUAUAAAGAGCUUUAGAGAGUGUAAACAAACAUACGGGUAAUAUGCAAUGCAAGACGAUAGAUAUAAGGAAAGUUUGGGAAUGAAAAAUCUUAUUUUACUGUAUUAAAUAGUGAACUAGCUCACAGUGGUCUUUUAACUUACAUCAACACAAAUUAAAAGAAACAAUCACAAUACCGUAGACUCAAAUAGUUUUCCAGAGCAAGAUCCUGACCGCAUAUUUUAGGGUAAAAAAAAGGAAGCAUUCCUACAAGCAUCUCUGGACCAGUCAUACAAUCUUCAUAAUCUAAAUCAAAGACCUUCACGGUAGAAAAAUCAGAACCCAACACACUCAGGGGUUAAACUUCCAUAAACAGACUAAAAAGAUCACUGAUCACCAACAUUGAUCAGUUCAUACUCAACAAGAGACAGAUUGUUAUCCUCCUUGACUGUGAAAGACGCCGGUUCAGUGACUUCGAUGCGCCCCCAUUUAUCCACUCCUAGCCUCAUUGUACCCUUGAACAUGUCUAUCCUUGAAUUGCGCAGAAUCACCGUUGCCCCUGGCUUCAUAAGAUCAACUAUACACAAAGAAAAGAAUCAGUAGUUCAGUACCAUAAUCAAUGUAAUCAGUAGGCCAGAGUAAUUAUACAAUAACUGGUACAACACUAGCUAUUCUACAGGAAAAGCUAUGAAAGUUUUGGGAGAUAAUGUAGAGCAUUCAACUGAACAUAACUCAACAUAUGACCAAGCAAGUUUCACCUUUACUAAAGGCAAGGUCAAAUUUAAGCUAAGACGUCUUUCAAUUGCAUAAGCUACACAGACAUCACUAAAUGAUACCAGGCUUGAACAGAUUUUCACAGUAAUACCAUACAUUCAUUUCCAUUUUCAGUCACAAUGAUAGCUUUUCACACUCUUUCCAGAAAUUGACAUAAAUAAAUUCCCAUUUUCAGAUACAAGAAUAGCUGAUGCAGAAUAGCUGAUGCAUCAUCCAUCAUAAAGACUAGCAGAACACAUUUUACCAUUUGCUCAAAAAUAUAUAAAAAAUGAAAACAAAUACUGACGAAGACAAACCAGUAAACAACAAAGGAUCAAACUAUAUCUCUCCAACAAACUAUAAUAUGCCAUAUCUAUAUCCUAAGAGCAAAAGAAAAGAGUGAGUAACCUUGGUCGUUACGAGCAGUGAAGAGGAUACAUCCAGUUUCGUCUCCGAUGAGACACUCAACGAUUCGACUGGGCUGAGACGGCCUACUCAGAGAAUUCGCAGUACGAGGCUUACGGGUAACAGGAACCACGGUACUAGCAUCAAUGACCUUAACAGUCAACGUGUGACCAGUCGUUCCAGGCUUUAGCUGUUCCACCUUCACAAACACUGGCUUUCUCUUCACCGUCGACGUUCCCGUCGCAACUGCUGCAUUUCCUGUAGUCGCCAUCGCUCAGAUUACAAAACCCAGAUUUCGCGUUCGCCCUAAUUGCUGGAAUCGAAAGAAAAAAAAAACCUUUUGGGAGAGACCAAAAUGGGAUUUUAGGGUUUAUAAAGAAAGACGACGAUGUGCUCUGCUCACUCCCGAGACUGACGAGAGUUUUAAUCACCUGCUUCUCGGUAUCAUGAACUUUGUCACGUGUCGAUUUCUUAUUUGAUAUUUUUCAUAUGGAUUAAAGCUAUUAAUUUAUCCUUUAUUAGACAUUAAUGUAACAAAAGUCAUACAGCUAAUUUGAAAACGUGAAGAGACACUAAUCUAAAGCUUUCUUUGGUGCUUCAGUUUCUGCAACAACCACCACCAUCGCUUGCUCUUCUUCUUCUGUUGGCCGCGGCGGUGAAGGUGACUUUUCCUCCGGCGAUUUUAGUUGCUCAUGAUGAGUUACUUCUUGAUGCUUCUCCACUUCAAUGGUAUCUAACUGGAGAUUCUGCCGUCUGUAUCUGAUUACAACCACUAUGAUAAACACUGCUAUGAAACGGGUCUUGAGACUGGUUAGGUUCCAGAAUGCAGUAACUGCAGAGCCUGCCACAAACUUCUUGUGUGUGCAAAUUCCCCAAGCUUCAACUAUUCUCUUUUGUGCACUUUCAACUACACAAAGCAAAGAUCCGUUUUUGUCAUUGGAUUGGACACACCAAAGAGCAGUUUACAGUCUGUUCAAAUGGAUUUUACCUUGACGAUUAAUCUGACUAGCAUAACAUGAAUAUAGCUUUGGAACUGUGAAGCUUAGGAAGAAACCUGUUUAUCCAACUAUGGUCAGUUCUAGUAUAUUCAACUACAAGAAUACCAAUUAGAUUUCGUUGGAGUAUUGUUGACAUUGAGAUUUAGUGUUCCAGUAAUCAUACCAAAAGCACAUAACCUCCACAAUGUUAUGAGGUAACCAUACUCAGCUCCCAUUAGAACAAAAGGUGCCACCUGAAAUCAAAGUAAAAACCGAAUAAGAAGACUAGACAUAUUCAUUAGAGAAUAUUUUUUAUGAGAAUGGUGAAACUUUGUAAAUCCUACCUUGAGUGUCAUUGCAGGUUCGCCAGAGAAAAGCUCGCUCGUCUUUGAAAUCGCUAAAUUGGUGAUGGGAAGCAUUCGUCUUGCUAUUCGUAAGACAUCCUCUUCACUCAACUUGAGCUCUCUCCGCGCUUCUUCGGUUGCCCUUGAAGGUAACAAAUGGAUUUAAAAACUUUAGUACAAGCUAAUUUUUGAUAUGUACCGGGAUCUUAAGAGUUUGUACCUUUGGCGAAGAGUGUUUGACAGGAACGAUACCCCAAGAAACAAGAGUCCAAGAUAGGAGAUCGCUGAAAAAACACUUCAAACCAACAAAAUUUCCUUGAAUGUGACAAAUAAUUGAAGCUAGAAAGAUAAAUCAUGAUAAUAUAAAUCAAUGUACCUAAAGUUAAAUCCUUUAGCAGCAAAGCAAGAAGACAUGAAACAUAUACAUCCGAAACCGAACCAGAGUGUUGAUUUUGCAACAUCGCUCCACAUGAUCAAAUCGCUUAUAUUCUCUCUAAUCCGCUCCAAAUCACCUUGGCUAACAUCUUUAUCUGAAUUACGAAGCCAUAACACAACUACUGAGCAAAGCAUUCAUAGUAGAACAAGAGAGUGAACUCAUUUUGCAAAAUAAAAGGACCUACUUAUUAGAUUUGAAGAUUGGCAUGGAGAAGGUAUCACAGGAACAGAAUUUUGCUUCUCCUUCUUAGAUCGACCCGUCUUCUUAUGUUUUCUCGGUGUCUGAGUUUUCUCAUCAAUCAAGCCAACAAUAGGUUCCUUAUUAUCUUCCUUCGUUUCAACCAUCACCCCCGACCUUCGUCUCGAUCUCCGGCAAUUCCUCGGCGAGGCACAACCCGAAAGACCAUUUUGCCCUCCCUUAGUCCUACAUCGCCGUGCCACCGCAGCAGCCUCCGUAGCUUCCAUAUCAAAACGAUUGCUCAAACGGGUUCUCGAUUUACGGAGAGGAGAAGGAGAUAAGAGGAGGAUUUCGCGAAGAGUGACAGGAGAAGAUGGUGAAUUGAGGGAAAUAGGUGAUGGGUAAGGAGUACCGUUGCUCUUCGGAGACGAGACAACCAAAUCGAGAGAUGGAAUAUGCGAUUUGACGAGAGUGUUGUUGUUUCGAGCGAGACGCGAUGCGGAUCUAGGGUUCGAACGGAGGGAAGGAGGUAUAGUGUCCAUUAUCUGAAAAAAGGGAUGAUUUUUCGAAUCUGAGUGAUUAAAUGAGAGGAAUCUCUGGGAAUUUAUUAGGGUUCUUGAAGAUAAGAUUUGGGGAUUCUUGCUCCGACAAGCUAAGCUUCUUUUUUUGGGGUCUGUUGAAAGUUCUCAGCUUUUGUUUCCGGCAACAGUGGAUGAGAGAGCCGUUGAUGAGGAAGAAGAAAGAAAAAGACAAUCUUUAGCUUAUUUGAAAGUUAACGGCGGCAAAGUGGGUCCGUUAACGUCUCUUUUAACGGUAAUUGUAACUUUAAUCAUUGGAUCUUUUGAUUCUUUUCUACUUGAAUCAGAUAUAAACAAGAUACUAGUUUUGUAAUUAAAAUGCUAUGAUUAAGCAAAACCCUCUUUGGGAUUGUUUAUAAUUAUACAGCACAAAAAUCACAGCUUUAAUUUGGUUUGUUGUGUAUAGUCUCUGUAGAUGAUGAGUAGUUUACAUUUUGCCAUUGUCGCUGCUUAGCUUCAAAGCUGCAAAAGAAAACUCUGUUUUCUUGAGAUGGCGUUUGUAGAAGCCAUUGAGCCUCUCAAGCGCAUCUUCCAGCAUCUGAGCUUCUACUCCGAUUGUUAUCCUCACCCAGUUCUCCAUUCCCAAAGCCACUCCUGCAACACCAAAGAAAUGUUUCAAUAUCUUCAAACUUUGAAACAAAUCAUUUUCAAGAUUCACGUUUAUGUACUCAUUGAUUGUGAUUACCUGGUAGUAAGACGAGGUUUUCUUCUUUGGCUAGCUUCAUACAGAAAUCCAUGUCGUCUUCGAUGUCCUCCAAUAAUGAGAGCUCUAGCUUCGUCUGCAGUUUAAUCAUGGCAUUUGUUAUACAAAUCGAUCAAGAAUCAUGAAAUGAGUAUUACUGACGUUGGUGGUGGUACCAGUAAGUAAGUGCAUGAGUCAGGUUUCUUUUUGCAGACCAAGCAAGGAAUGUCCUUGAGCCUAUCACAGACCAAUUCCAAGUUCUGUUUCAACAUUGAAUUCUUCUUAGCAAACGUCUCUUUAUUUGCUUUCCCUAGAAUCUCGGGAAGUGCAGCCUGAACUAUGGUUGUAGCAUCUGGAACUAUAUCAAGAUUUUGUUGGAUGGACUGUAUCAUCUGUUACAAGAAGAAGAAAAAACAGAGUGAUUACUUGAAACAGAAGCUAUAAUAAUCCUAUCUAUAAUGAUAAAUCGGUUCAGAAAAUCAGACCCCUGUGGACUUGAAAAUGCCUUUGGGAUCGUUCAUAGCGAUCCAGCCGAUUCUCCAACCAGGAACAACCCAUCCUUUCGAUAUACCACCCAAAGUGAUAAUCGGAGCUAUCGAUGAAAACGUUCCCAUUGGAACAAAUUGUUUGUCUCCGAAGAUUGUUUCGCAAUACACUUCGUCUGUGAUCACCAUUAUUCCUAGCUUCCGAGCUGUCUCUGCCACCUAUAAAAGUUUCAUUCAUCAGCACCAUUUUUCCAAGUCUCUCACAAGUCAAAAACUAGUUGUAAUUACCUUCUUAAGAUGAUCGUAAGAGUAAACAUUUCCACAGGGGUUGUUAGGGUUUAUGACAACCAUUGCCACAGUGUUCUCGUCUGAAAUUGCUUCGAUGCCUGGGAUAUCAAUCUCCCAUUCUUUCUCCGGGAGAAGAUCGAACUUGCGGACCUCGAGUCCACUAAAGAGGGCACGAGCCUCAUAGUGAGGGAAACUAGGCCGUGGGAGAAGGAUGUUAGCAUUUGGUCGAGCCAGCGAUUGAAGCACUACUUCUAUCCCUUGGUUGCAUCCGACAGUUAUGAGUACAUCAUUAGCCUUUACCUUGUUUGUCAAGUCUCGGUUUACGUAAUCAGCAACCGCCCUGAGUAACAAAACGUUCCAUGAAAAAUACUUAGGUUUUGCCGUGGGUGAAACAGAGUAGACCGCUCUAUCUUAUGAAAAGGGAGAAAGAAGCUUACUGUCUAGCGGGGAGAAUUCCGGCGGCGGGGCCGUAAGAGUUACCCUUACCGGAGCGGAUGACGUCGACAAUGGCGUCCUCGGCGUGGAUGGAGGUGCGGUAGCAAGGGUACACAGAAGGGUCGCCGUGUGCAAGGGGUAAAAGAACCUUUCCAACGUCCGGGCUGCAUUCAGCGAAGAGCUUGAAGCAUAUGACUCUCAUGGUGACGCUGGAGGCUUUCGUUGCGUUGUCGCUUCCCCUGAAACGCCAAACGCUGAUAUCGUUCUCAUCUUGCGUCUGCGUCUCGGUUUGAAGGGUAGGAAGUAGGAGGUAGCUGUUUCGGUCCAUUGGUUAAUAAAUGAGCUGGAAGAGUAUUAUGUAGAUUUUUGAAAUGUGGUCGUCGUUAUAUGAUUGAUAUAUAUGAUGGAGAUGCCAAGAAACGUAUUUAUAGAGGAGGACGAAGGAUUAAAUAAUAAUCGGAAACUCGUUAGUGUUAAAAUAAUAAUAACGAUUAAGUGUAGACUUUGACUAAAGGAAACUGCGGUAGCAGACUUUACGUACCUUUGAACUUUUCACCCAUAAAAAAGAAAAAAACCUUUGAACUUGAAUUAUAGACUUUGAACGAAGGGUUAUAUUAUAUACAUUUACAUAGUUGACCAUUUUAUUAAAUUUUUAAUUUGAUGAUUUUGGAUUAAGUAAUAAAAAGAAAAUGUGUUUCUACCACAAUGAUUUUUCAUUAUUGAAGAUGCUAUUGAUUAGAAACAAUUUUCAUAUAUAACAAUUUCGAUGAUAUAAAAUAUUUAUAUUAGCGUGGUAAGAUAUAAUGUAUACCACACGACAUUAAUAUUAGAUUAAUAAAAAUUAAAUAUAUUAUAUAAUAUACAUAUCAACGUGUAAUUACAUCUUUAAUUGAGCUAUCAAAAUCUUGAAAAAAAUGUUUUAUAAAAUCAAGAUCAGUCAGUGAAACUGAAAAAUGUGGUGUAGUUAGGCAUGUCAAUCGGGCUAGCCCGCCCCGGCCCGGCCCGGCCCGAAACCAGUAAAGCCCUCAUAUAUGUGAGUCUGGUCCGGUCCGGUCCGAAAAAUUUCCGAGCCUAUAUUUUAAAGUCCGGCCCGGCCCUAACAGGGCUACAGGGGUUUUCGGGAUUUUUGGGCUUUAUUUACCGAUAAAAAAUCAAUUUCUAAGUUCAUAAUAGUUUUUUAAAAACUAUAUUUAAAGGUCUACUAUAAAAAUAAUGCAUCAAAUUUUAAAUAACUUAUCAAUAUUCAAUAAAACUAACUUAAUUUAAGAGAAAAAAUAGAAGCCAAAUAAAUUAUUUACACUUUAACCCAAUAAAACAUAGAACUAAAAUACUUUAAAGUAUAAGAUAGAGUAAAAAUUUAAUAGAUAUUUUGAUGAUUUCAAAAUCAUGAUACUUAUAUAUAUUUAGUUUUAGCUUUGUAUAAAGAUUUUAAAAGUAAUAAGUAAGACUAGUAAGUAAAUAUGAAAACUAUAACAUUAAUCAAAUCUUUUAAUCAAACUAAAAUAUUCAAAAAAUUCAAAAUAUAUUUGUAUAAGGGCUUUUCGGGCUGGCCCGAGCCCGACUGGAGUAAGCCCAAAAACUCUUUAACCCGAAUGGGCUUAGCCCAAAAGGCCCAAUUUUUUCUGGACAUAUAUAUUUAAUCCCGAUCCCGAUAUUUUUUAGGGUCGAGCCAAACUAGCUCGCGGGCUUUAGCCCUAAUUGACAUGCCUAGGUGUAGUGAUCUAUUAACACACUGUUACAUUUAUUUAGCCACUCUGUUUAUAAGUCAGAAUAUCGACUGAAGCUAAAUUCAUAUAUUAUGUAUUAUACAUAUAAUUAUCGUGAUCCAAUACUUGAUUAAUGUGCUAAUUUAUAUGUUACCUAAUAAAUAUGGAAAAUUUAUAUAAAUAAUAAUUUAUCAGAUAUGUUAAAUCUUACACCUUAUAAUUAUGGCUAACAAUAUAAUAUUACUAUAAACAAUAAGUAAUGGAUACGUUUAAUUGCUAACAUCAUGUCUUCGACUUGGUCUUCCUGGAAAUAAAACUUCCACUCUGUUUUAACUCCGUCACGUUAUGUUCAUCUUGAUGAAUACUUGGUCAAGAGUCAAAUACUUCGCCGAAACCGAAACUGCAUGGCUAUAUAUUUUGCUAUAUCUUAAUUUCCCAAUCGUCUGUUGUUGUAUUUUGCUAUUUUUUUUUUUUUUUUUUUUUUUUUUUUUUUUUGCUAUUACCCUUGAAUGAUUAGCUUUACAUGACGUGCGUGACCAAUAUAAUAAAAAAAAUGUUUUAUUAACGUGAAAUUGCCGUCGUUCGAAAUAAAAACAGAAUUUUGGAAGAAGACGACUUAUGAAACGUGAGAAUAUUAAUUUGGUGUAUUUACAAAUGACCGUUUUCUUAAAUUACUUGAUUAAGUAUUGCACUAAUCUUUCCAUUCCUGUAUAAGCUGCAACAUCAUAUUAUAUUAAAGAUGAAUAAUAUUAUUACUUUGAAAUAGACAUAAUAUUUACGAAAAGCAUCAUAAAGGUUGAUGAAUAAUUUUUUUUUUCUAAAAACUUUUAGGGUAAAUAUAAAACUGAAACUUAGAUAUCUUUUUCUGAAAUUGACUGUGAAUUUGUAUUUUAAAUAUAUAUUUUAUACUCACAUAUUCUAUAUCACCAACCCCAAAUCCAAUAUUUUAAAAUUUAUUAUACUCCAUUGCGGCUUGCGCCACCAUCUUUUUUUCUUCUUUACUUUAAGAAAAAGCUUGCGCCAUCAUUUUUCUGUUUCUUUGAUACUCCGCCUAAAACGACGUCCCGACUUCCAACGUAUCAGCUUUCACACGCUGACACGAACACAGUUAACCUUAAAGAUUCAAACACAAUCAAAAGGAAAACGAAACAUGAGAAAUACAAAAUACAUAUAUAGUGUUAUUGAUGCUGAGUUCUCUUUUAAGUGAGUUGUGUUUUAACAUGGCGAGCGUAGAAGCCUUUGAGCCUCACGAAAGCGUCUUCUAGCAUCGACCUCUCCACUCCUAUCGAGAAUCUCACCCAAUUCUUUAGUCCUAAUACCUCCCCUGCAUUAUGUUCAUAAUCAAAUCAGCCCAUAUGUCCCUUACAUUUUAUAGAAAUAUUGAUUACAGUGUAAAUAAUAUUGAUUACCAGGUAGAAGGACGAGAUUCUGCUCUCGGGCUAGCUUCAUGCAGAAAUCAAAAUCAUCCGUGAUGUCUUCUAAGAGGGAUAUAUCCAAUUUUGUCUGCAAUAUAUAUGAUCUACGUUAGGUUUAAUGAAAAUUCUCUUAUAUAUGUGAUUUUUGUUGUAGGGUCUUAUUACUGAUGUUAGUUUCAUUUGUUAACACAUGGAUAUGUAACAUAAUAGUUUAACAUAAAAGUUUAUACAAACGCUAUCAUAUAUCUCUAGGCGUGCAUAUAGAUUAUAGCCGAAACAAAGAGAAGGUUUAUUUGUUAGUUUGCGUUUAUAUCUAAAAGUGUGUAAAUUAAAGAUAGGUUGAAAUUGGUACCACUAAGUAAGUACACGACUCGGGUUUCUUGGGGCAGGUGAGGCAAGGAAUGUCCUUGAGAGCAUCGAACGCCAAAUCUACGUUUUGACUCAGGAUUAAGUUACUUUUGUCGAAGAAAUCUUUCUUUGUCUUCUCCAAGAUGUUUGGAAGUGCAAACUUCAAAUUAAACAUGGCAACACAUUAGCUCUAUUGCAUAUAUACACCACGUAAGUCAUUGCAUCUUUGUGCAUGCAUGUGUCACUGAACAUUACGUAUCAUAUAAGCCAAACCUGUAGAAUUGUUGAUGGAUCUGGACUUAUGUCGAGAUGUUCCUUGAUGGAUUCAACGACCUAUUGACAACAAAGUAUUGUUUGUGUUAGAACAGGAAUAUAGAACAUAUAUUUCUAUCCUAACAGUUUGAUGUUCAAAGAUACUCAGGUCUACAAAGUGUUUUCCCAUGUCCAAUAUAAUAGGACGAUGUUUACUACAAAUAACUUGUGAUGGUUAAGAGAUAAAACUGACCCCGGUAGUUUUGAAAACGUUGUCAGGAUCAUUCAUUGCGAUCCAGCCAAUUCGCCAGCCGGGAACGAACCAUCCCUUGGAUAUGGACCCGAGUGUAACCACAGGGGCAAUAGAUGAAAAUAUACCCAUGGGGACAAAUUUAUUCUCACCAUAAAUAGUUUUGUUAUAAACUUCAUCAGAAAUGACCAUUAUUCCUAGCUUUCUCGCCAUCUCAGCCACCUACAUGUCAUAAUAAAAUGUACAUAACAAAAGUUUUGUUGAAAGAUAGUUUCCUAAAUCCUAAGUUAGUAUAGCGUCAUUCACGUACCUUCUUUAGAUGUUCAUAUGUGUAGACAUUUCCACAUGGGUUGUGAGGAUUAAUUAUCACCAGGGCAAUGGUGUUUUCAUCUGCGAUGGCCUCGACGCCUUGAAGAUCUAUCUCCCAGUCUAGAUCGGGAAGGAGAUUAUACUUGCGAAUCUCGACUAGGCUAUGGAUUGCGUGACUGUGGUAUAGGGGAUAAAUUAGAGUUGGGAGAACGAUAUUGGCCUUGGGUCGGGCGAGGGCAUGGAUCAUUGUCUCUAUCCCUUGGCAACACCCCACCGUUAUAAAUAUGUCAUCUGAUUUCAUCUUAUGAGGAAGGUCCCGGUUCAGAUAAUUUGCAACCGCCCUAAAUUAAUAUGAGCAUAGUUUCACAUGUUACAGUGAAUAUAAUAGAAUUAUUGUAAUAAAAUUUGGAAAAUUAAUCUAGCACUGGAUAUACAAGCACAUGCAAACACAAGGCAUAAGUUGUGUUAUAACUUAUAAGUACAUAAUCACCUAAACAUAUAGAAAUUCGUUAAACUUUUUCAUCAUAUACAGUUCAGUAUAUUGAUACCUUUACAAUAUAUAUUUAAUGUGGAAACAAAUAGCUAGAAACUAAUUACCUCCUGGCCGGUAAAAUACCGACCCCCGGGGCGUAAGAGUUGGCGGCGCCAGACCGUAAGGAUUCAACCACCGCGUCCUCAGCAUCAACGGAAGUUUGAAAGCAACGGUAGACGGAAGGGUCGCCGUGACCCAGAGGCAAAAUGGUCUUGUUAACGUCUUUGCUGCAGCAGUCGAAUAACCUAGUAAGGGUACCUUUCAUUGAGACAUUAGCCGCUCCCUUGGCCGCUUUGUUGCCUUUGAACUUCCAGACGUCACCACCGAUGCCGCCUCCGUUUCCGGUCGUCUUGCGUUCAACGUCUUCCUCUUCUUGAUCAGUUUUAAAUGAAGGAACGAACAGGUUCUUGUGUUGACUCAUCGUUCCGAUUGAACUUCUUUCUCUUGGUUUGAAAAUUUUUCUUUUGUGAAAGAAGAGUCAUAUGAUAUUACAUAGAUGCAUUGUGUUCCAAACUAAAAAAAAAGAUGAAAGAUAGAUUAGUUUAUCAUUUUCAUAUAUAUGCACAAAGCUUAUUGGUAUAUAUAUAUCUCGAUCUCUUCUGACUCUUCAUUAUAUUCAAUUUUGAAAUGGGUACGUAUUUCUGACAAACAAAAAAAUGGGUACGUACUUAUCUCUUCAUGACAUUCAAUAUGAAAUGGGCAAUCUCAUUCAUAUAGCUCCUGUUUUAGGUAUGGUCUCUUUUUCUGAAAAGAAAUUACCACUGCCGACGAAAGGAUCUUUUGAUUUACAAAAAAAAAGAACGAUAAACACGUGAAAUGAAAUGUAUAUUUUAGUACUAGUGGUGAGAGAUAGAAGAAUGGCUACUGAUGUUUUUUUCUUUUUCGAUUUUGGGUUACAUGAGAGAUCAGAGCAUCUUGAUACAUUGUUUUUUUUUUUUUGGCAAUCGCAUUUUGAUACAUUGUUUUACAGAACGAAAUGUAGUUUUUGUCAGAAAAAAUUGGAACUAUUUAAGAGAUUCGAAAAUGUUUCUGAUGUCCACGAGAAAAAACAACUGGAUCCCCCCAGUGGUCGGUCCAUUUCAAGUUACGAGGUACAUUGAUGUUCUCACUAUUCUAACGUAUUCUUUUUCUGUAUAAUUGAUUGAUAUUAUCCUGAGUACUUUCAUGAUCUGUAAUUUUUAGUCUUUUCAUGUGUUUACAUAAGAAUUUAAGCUUGUUUUUUAUUAAAAAAACAACCUAAAACUUCGUUGAAUGAUUUUUUUUUUUUUUUUUUGUCGGCCAAAGGUUUCAUUAAGAAAAGCCCAACAGGCUAAUAAAGAAGGGAUACAGUUACAUGAUUAAAACGAAAAUCAACAGCCCAACUAAAUCAUAAUUGCCCUCGAAGUAAUAAGGUCCGGUAGAUAGAUAAAACAAGCAAUAAUGAUUCAGAGGUACACGUGUAGAAGCUAGAUCCUUCACGUAGCCACGCGUCUUAUCAUCUUAGAACCACCGUUAACUUUCGUCAAGCGUCGCCAAGUUCCGAUCGUCUGUCUUGAAUUAACUGUGGUGCGACAAGUAAACUUUUUCCCUUCUGUCGAUCUCUAUUCCGUUCAUAGAAUCGUCAAAAACCACCGGAUCUUACAUGAAAAACUUCUUCAAAUCUCUCUAAGAAUCACCAACUCCCGGGAAGCUCCAUCACCAACUACACACAAUUUACCGAUGUAGUUUUUUGAUUGCUCUAAAGUCAUGAGCAAAGGAAAGUGAUGAAGAUAUUACUCCUCGAUUAACUGGAGAAUCAAAGAGAAAUAAGAGUAAAAACGGUAAAUCGACGAGAUUAAAACAAAUGGAAUGAGAUCAAAAUAGCUCGCAAGAUGCGAGAAAGCACAUCCGGACUUAAACCGGAACAAAAGAUCCGAUUUACAAUCGGAAGGAGGACCGACAAAGCUAAUAUUUUACAAACAAAAAAAUCCGGUAAAACGGAAAUCUUCCUUUCUCUCUCUGAAAGAUGAAGAGUGUGCUAAGAGAGAGAAAGUUUUUUUUGCUCAUCACCCUUCGUUGAAUGAUUUAAACGUAAACUUCGGUUAAACAGUAUUGGGAAAACCAAAUUUCGUUUUCUCUUGUAAACGGCUGUUUAAUUAGAACGACACAAUUAUUCAAAAACUUUUAGUUUUGAACCACCCCCCCCCCCCCCCCCCCCCCCCCAACAAUUACUCAAGUUUGUGAAAUGUUUUUAUGCAUAUCAAAAACUCACAAAUAUGUAAGAAAGUUCAGAUUUAUUUCUAUAUUAAUUUUUAUUUUCAUUUAUAAUUCAGAAACUUCACACACAUACACUAGCAUGUUUAAAAACUGAAUUUAACUUUAGUCAUCCGACCCUCAUCUCACAAAUUGAUCAAGUCCCUAAUUCCUUAUUUACGUUGUUGUAUUUACAUCACUCUAUGACUCACUUUCUCUAUUCAUCAAUUUAAAUUGGCUAAAAGAAAAUUAGUUACAAAAGGUUAGGUCGCACGCGGCUUAACCAACCGGCCCAAUGGGUCGAUUUGAUUAAAUACGAGAAACGCUUUAAUCACCCGUUUGGUCCCUUCUUUAAAUAGCUCUCGCACGCUACCGAAGAAGAGCAUUAAAACUCUCGCAUGCGUUACCAAGUUGAAUUUUCUGUUAAAAGUAUUUAAGAUUGCUCGUCACGAUUACGUUUGUUAGGUAGAUAUAACAUAACGAAGACCAACUCACACAAACAAAAAAAACAGUGCAUUGGCUGCUAGUAUGAUGAUGAAACUAGUGUUUGCGAUGACGUGUCUUCUUGUUGCAGUCACAGCCGCCGAUGCACUGUACCGUCCUUGGCCUCCGGAGUGUCUUUACGUGGCGAACGUGAUUACGGAGCAGUGUAAAAUGUUCUUCGUCCAUCAGGAAUCUCCUCCCACCGCCGAGUGCUGCCAUUGGUUCAGUAGCCGCCGUAAUAAUGUCAAGGAGAGGCGAAGGAUUUGCCGUUGUAUGGAGUUUCUGACAACAGCCAUCAAACCACUCAGGCCAGACGCUUUGGCUCUCUCUGACCAGUGCCAUUUCACCUCUGGCUUCCCCAUGUCUAAAGACCACACAUGCGCUUGUAAGUUUCAAUAAAGUAUAUGUAAGUGCCAUUGCAAGUAUUUUGUAGAAAAAGGCUGACGGUAUAAUUUGUCUAUUGGUUCUCUGUUUUUGCAGAGCAUGGGGGAGACUCAAAGAAGACACGAUUUGCAGAUGAAUAGUAUCUCUUGUUUUUGUAUUUAAAGGCUGUCGCGAUUUCUUAUUUUUCAUUCAUUUGUGAAGAAAAUCAUGCUUACAUAAUAUAUUACAUCUUCUGGGAAACCACAUUACUGGGUUUUUUUUUUUAUAGACACAGCUUGAGCAUAUAUAUCUCUAUCUUAUGAACUUGACGGUAAUUUAUAGACAACUAAAAAAAAAAACACUUUGAAAGAGACUAGUGCAACUUUACAACGAUACAGGAGAUGUCAUCUUUGCUCUUCUUAGAUAUGGCUUCCUCUAUCAAAUGCUUUGCGGCUGCAUGCGGGUCUUUGAUACUCUUGAUCGCAUCAACUGCUUCUUGGUUCGAUAAUACCUGCAGUUCAACAUCGACCAUCAUCUUAGAACAAGUCCAUAAACUGGCUAGCUAAUCCACGGAUAGAACCAGGGCAAGAUACCGAGUCGUUAGACUUACCUUCCAAAUACCAUCACUGGCAAAAAGGAUGAAUUCAGUGUGAUCAUCAAUUGCCUGGUGUGUUAUGUCUGGUUCUGAGCUCAGAUGUAUCUUCAAGCUCUUAUCUCCAAACGCUCUCGCAACCGCUAACUGUCCAUCCACUCGUGGAACAUCCCCUGCAACGUUAAAUAUAUAUCAGCAUCUGCUAUUCCAAAGAAACUGAAGGCGUAACUAGUCACAACAAAUUAAGGUAGCUUUACCUGGAAUAUUUGAUACAAAGCCACCUCGUUUCUCUAUUUCUUUUUUCUCCUUGCUUGGUUCAUGAUCGACUGAGAGCUGAUGCGCAACACCAUUCUUAGACAUCACUGCUCUUGAAUCUCCAACAUUAGCAACAACUAGCUUUUGACCAUCAAUUAGAAUUCCCGUUACAGCCGUUGAUCCGCCUUUACCAAGCUUAAGGGAUUGCUGCAAUAUCACGGCAUCUGUCGAUCUGUAUGCAUUCCUUAUAGCAUUCUCCGUGUCAGUCCAAAAAUCCUUCUGAAAAUACACAAAUGGAUCAGUCAGAAUCAUUCACAAAGAAUUCGCCUUUUAGCCUCCAAAGAGAUUUGUUAACCAAAUUAAAGAUCUACCUCUUUUAGAAUGUUGUCAAAGAGAUUAGUUUGCAAGUAUUUGGCCACAUCAUGCCCCAAGUGACCAUCAAAGAUGGCAAACAAACCCAAUUCAUGACCUUCAAGUUUCUUGAAUUCGGAGACUACAUAAUCCUCCAUAGGAUGGCUAGACUUGCCUUUCACACAGUGAAAACCAUGUGUGAUGUUCUUCCACAUCUUGCUUUUGCCUCUUCCCAUAUCAGGAGCGGAUCCACAGAACCCAGCCUUUAACUAAUAUUUCACACAGCAAAACAAUAGAGUUAAUACUGCAAUCACUCAAAAGACUCAAAAACACUGUCUAUCUAUAGAUUCUUCAAACCAAAUUCUCUGAGUCAUCAAGCCCAUUAAAAAACCAUAAGCACAACAGAAUCUUUUCCCAGAUUACAAAGCCACCUAAUCAAGUUUGAGUUUUUAUCAAUAAAACUAACAGGUGUGACCAAUUUCGGCAGAUUCAGUUAUACCCAUGAGCAGGAAACGCCAAAGAUCAUAAAUUUCUAAAGGGUCAAGCUCGAAGCUGCAUUCAUUAAUCUUACUAACUCACUCACUUCAACCUUUGUUUGAUUCCCCCAAAAAAGUUUCAAACUUUGCUAAUAGAGAAAUAGCCAGCAACAGAUAAACUGAUUCUCCAAUUCAAAGCAGAGAUUCAAUGAACUAAAAACGAGAUCAGAUCAAUCAGAGUAAUACCACAAACAAAGAAGAAUCAAGAGCCAGUAAUAGCGUACCUUCAUCUUAUGGAGAAUAUUACUGCCAGCCAUUUCUGAGAAAGCCUUGAGACGAUUCCUUUGUAUCUGUGUGUUUGUGUGGGAUAUGUGAUGAAUGAAUGAUGCAAACACGAAUGGAGAUAGAGAGAAAGAAGGAAGAAGAUUCGGGUUUUAUGAAUGAUUUUGACUUUGAUGUAAAGGAAAUAUGAACUGCUCGGUGACUGUUAACAUUAUUAUCCCGGCUGCGUCCUCCAAUGCGGACGCGUUCUCUCCCACGACUUUUCUUCUUCCCUUUUUGUUCAGCUUAUCUUAUUUUAUCAUUUAAUUAAAGUUUUUAUUGCACACCCACUUGGAAAUUACAUAUAUGUAUUGCGUUACUUUUCUUUUCUUUUUAAUAUAGCAAUAAAGUUUUUCUGAUUGGUAUAUAGUAUUUGUUUAAGACAUCUAAAUUAUCAAAAUAAAAGUAAGAUUUAUAAUUUUGGGUUUGUAUUUUAUUUGCAUAACACAAUUAUUCUUUCUUUUUUUUUUUUUUAAUUUUUCUAGAUAUGGUGUUCUACAUAAUUCCCCCUAAAAAUAAACAAAAAGAAAAAACUCUAGACUUCUGUUGAAAAAUCGUGUACAACAAUAUUCCCAACUGUCCUUAUUAGUUAAACUCUUUGUUUAGUGAAGAUGUCUUUUUUCCUUUUAUUUUGUUGCGAUGAUGCAUAACAUUUUUGUUCCUGUUAAUUAAUGUAUCAAGUACUACUAGUGUACUACAUAACGUCUUUGGAUAUUUCUGUUUUCAUUUUCUUAUUCUCCAAAAAUUGUUGUCGGCUCAUUCAGUAGAUUCACUUUCAGAGACUCUUCUUCUUAGCUCCUUCCAGGUCGUCGUCGUCGUCGUCCUUCGGAAUAAGCCAUCCAAAAUAUUUCCACAUCUUACAUUGGUUUUUCACGUCAAGCAAAUAAUAAUAUAAUCAUGUGUUAAAAAUAAAUAAAAAACUUAAUGUAUAUGACGGAAUUAUCACAUCACAUACCAAUAUAGUUUCAUUGUGGCUGAAACUCAGAUGGGUCAUUAUUAUUUCAAAAGGUCAAUUAUUAUCCCAAAAAUCUUUAUUCAAAUUUUAUCAUGAAGAGGGUAAAGAUCUUGCUAAAAAUCACACACAUAGAUAAACAAGGGGUCAAAGAGUUGUUGAUUUGUCUAAAUCAACGAUUUCGUGAUUGAUAUGAUCACACGCACAUAGGAAUCAAAGAGUUAGUGAUUGGUUUAGUCAUCCAUUAUUGAUUUGUUAGAAAUUUUUUUUUUAAUAUGUUUUUAACAUUUGUUUUAGUUAGUAGUACAUCGGAGAAGCUUUUACCUAUUGUUCUUAUCUUCGAGUCAAGCCUUUGUCAAUUUGGACGACUUAUGGACCAACUUGCUUCUAUAAAUUAAAGAGUAGUAAAUUUGGAUAUGAUGAAAACGUUCGAGAGAGAGUUGGUGGUAGGUAAAAUAUUUAAGCCGUCAUUAGGAAAUGAUUAAAUGGAAGACAAAAACUAUUUUAUCAUUAAAUAUGGAAAUCAUAACAGCUCCCACUGUUUUAUUUUUAGUUUAAAUAGUACUGAAUAAACUAAGUAAAUAAAACAUGGAUGACCAAAACUACUAUAACAAAAACUGUAAUAUCCACUAUCAGACAGAAACAUAGACAUUGGAACGAAGGGAGUGAAGAUAAUGAAAUAAUAAUUGAAGUAUUCUAGAGGCAGAGAUGAGAGAACAGAGGAGAAGAGAAAAGGAAAAAAGAUUGUUAGAUAAAAAUGGAAAUUACGAGGAACAACUACGAUUAGCUUUGAUUGAAAUAUAUAAACGAUAGAUCAUCAAAGUUCGACUACGAAUAAAAAUUUCGUUUAAGUCCAAAACGUUCCCAAGCAUGUGGGAUCAUUUUCUGAAAUAUAUAUAUCUUCUGUUAUUAGAUUUUGAUUAAGACAAUAUCUAUACAAAUUAGAAAACUAAGAUAGUGUAUAACCGAAAGUAUAACAAGAAAUACUACAAAACUAUAAGAUAUAACUGAUUUAAGAAGAAACUAUCAUAAUUCUUGAAAUGCAUCCCCAUAUCGAACAUUUACCUCAACACAUGUGAUUCAUCCUCUUCGGUUAUAUUUGAGUCAGGGUUUUGUGGGCAAGGUACACAUCUUAUUUUCCAAAUUACCUCUAAUUCAGGGCAAUCACACCGUGCCCUUAUCUCUCCCGUGCCCCUUUUCUUCUCCAGUCCUUGCAACUACAUAUAGUAACUUCUGUUAUCUCGCUGCUUAACAAAGAACCAAGAAAUUAGGAUGGGGAAAAAAAUGAAAAAGACGUAGAAUCAUUUACAGUAAUUGGAGACGUGAGCUUCAGGACGUUAUCCCAGCGGCUCACUCCUCUACAGUACUGUGGAGAGGGCUGCUUAGGUAUUACGUCAAUGAAGUUACUGAAUAUGUCCCUGCACUGCUCUUCUUCAUUCAUGGAAACCACGGACGUGAUUAGUGUCAUAAGCAAUAGAGCACGAUGCAUCUUAUGUUAUUUUUCUAAAGCUAAUAUUAGGACGAAUUAGGACGAGUACUAGCGAAGGUAAUUAGAUGAUCCGUGUAAUAUCAUCACAAAUCUCUAUAUAUAUUUAUUAGUUAAUUAGUUUAUAUGGUUAGUUCAAAGAAACAUGUAACUCUCGUGCUUCCUUCCGUAAGAAAUCAUGCCAUUUCUAUAGGUUAAUUUGUUAGACCUAACCAGUCUUUAUUUUUUUCGCCACUUUAUUUGUAUGCUUGAAAGGUAUCUAAAAGACUAAAACUGUGUUAGGUCUUAUAUUUUUAUGUUAUGACUUGGGAGUUAUGAUAGGAAUAUGUGAUUUUCUAACAUUGUUGUCUGAAUUGUAUCUUCUUCAAAUAUUGGAUGAUUUUGAUAUCAUGUAUAAAUAAUAUUUUAUUUUUUUCGUCAAUGUUUAAAGGGUAAUUCAUAUAGUAUUUGUAUUCAAAGCUGGACUCACUCGGGUAUUUGUAUUCAAUGCGACUAUCUCGGAUAAUUACUCAAUUUGUUCUCAUCCUCCUGAAAUAAAUCGCCAUGACCCAAAAACAACCUCGACGACUUUUACAUCAGAUUCAUAAUUCACAGUCCUAAUUGGUCUCCUUCUUACGUUCUCAAAGCUUUGGUAAGCUUUCGUGGACUCCCUCUCGACUCCACAGGUUCUAGAUAGGUUCUUCAAUCAGUGCUUCCCAUCCAUAUUUCGUUAUGAUAUGUAUAGUCCCACCCAUCCGUAUUUAGUUAUGAUCGUUCUUUUGGUUAAGGAAAGUGUACGUAUCAAUUAAAUGUCGCGAGAACAAUAAUUAAAUUUGGUCGUUAAAGCUUCAACUUAUGAUUUUGUUGCUUAAUGGGACAAUACUCACUUUUCCCAUAACAAUGGUUAUGGUAAAAAGUAAAAAUAAGAAAUAAAAGUCACCUGAUUAAAUGUAUAUAUCCAUAUAUAAUCGCCUAAAGGAAUUAAACUCUAUUUUACUUUUGUAACAGUAGCUAGUAGCUAGGCACUAUAUUACAAUAACCGCGAGUACAUAUAUCGUACUUAACCGAUAGCUGUUACAAGGCUUCUCUUUCCAAUAUUCAUACACGCACACACAUACAUAUAUAUCCUGGUAAUUAAUUUAAUCUUUCAGCGUCGAGUUUCUUGGUGUUUCCGAACCUGUAACCAAAAAAAAAAAAGAACAAGUUAAUAAGCUCUUUAAGCUUAGGGAAAAACGUAAUAAUGACAUGUUAGGUAGGAAAAGACUGAGAAUGGAAAUAACUGAGAACAGUCCAUAGCAACGGAGAUGGGAAAGCUGAGAGUAAGAGAACAACGGAGAGGAAGGUUGUUAAUGGCGCUUGGGAGAAAUGGAAGAUGAUUAGCAUUUCCCAUUAUCUCUACGCAUAUACACACUCUCUCUAGCUCUCCAUUCCCCUGUCUCGAUCCCUACGUAAUAUUUUACAAAGUACUUAAUUAAUAAUUAAUUAAUUAGUGGUGAAAUUAAGAAGAAACCAAAAUAAUCGAGAAAGAGAGUGAUAUAACUGGAGCCGUGAAUUUGACGACGUUGUUCAAGUGGCUCACGCCUCUGCAGCAUUCUGGAGAAGGUUGCUGGAAUAUUCCUUCGACGAAGCCCAUGCACGGCAUGAAACUCACGAAUACGUCCCUGCACAACGCCAUCGGAUCGUUGUCCUGUGACUGUGAUACAGCGGUCUUCAUCAGGACCAAGAACGCCACGACCAAUAUGGCAUGAUGUAUCUUCAUUGAUCUGUUUAACUGAGUAUCACUAGCGAACGUGGGAUAUUGAGAUGAUUAGUGUGCGAUCACACUAUAUCUGCAUAUAAAUAUAUAGCAAUCAAUUUGUUUCUUCGGAGUUUAUUACAUAUGGUUGGUUUAAUUAAUGAACUCAUGUACUUCUCAUGUUUCCUUUUUACUCGGAUUAAUUCCAGUUGAGUUCUCUUUCAGUUUUCUUGAAAUAUUAUGUGUAACAUUCUAUUUAUAUCUUCAAUUUUUUUGCUAAAGCUAUAUCUUCAUUUGCCCCCCCCCCCCCCCCAAAAAAAGAAAAACAGAUUAUAUGUAUAUAUCUUUAAUUUAGUUUUUUUGUAGGUUUAUUGCAUGUGAUUGGUUUAUUUAUAUCGCAUGCCAUAUGUGAUGUGUCUUGUUAUCUGAUACAUGAGCCGAUAUUAUAUAUUGUCUGUAAUCUGGUCUCAUAAAAUGCGUAUCUUUUGGAAUGUAGAACUCCGACAAUUUUUGGAUAACAAGUUCGUAAUUGUCUGUAAAGUUUUGUCCGUCUGAAAAGGAUAAAAGAUUUAGCUACCUUUCUUGCUUCCUGACUACGUUACAUUCAAUUUUUCAGACGAAAUUAACAAAGCCUUUCGUGUCUUUGUAUAUAUAUGAUGAAUAGUGUCUUUAUUAUAUAUUGAUUCAAUGGACAAUGCUCUCUUUUAGUGGUAAUUUUCAUCAGGUUAUGGUAAUUACCAGUUGAUGAAUGUUAUGUCCGUACGCUACGCAUAGUUACUAAUUAAAGAAAAGUUUAUUAUUAGCUUUUGUGACAUAUAUAGUCACUAAUACAAUACACUUAAUUUUGAUUAUAUAUCAUUUUAACUAUAUUGCUGCCUGCUACAGUCUUCCCUUUACAAUAUUCAUUUAUACAUGUACGUACUAUAUCCUGGUAGUUAGUUUGAGUUUUCAGCGUCAAGAUCCUUCGUGUUACUAAACCUGUAACACAAUAGAAUGAUCAAUUAGUUCCUUAUAUAUAUGUAUAUAUAUAGGAGGAAAUGGAACGAACUAAAUGACAUUUUUUUUAUAUCUCAAGUACUAAACUAAGUCAACAAAAAAAAAGAAGAAGAGGAGAAAAAAUGGAAAUAACUGAGAACAGUCCAUAGCAACGGAGAUGGGAAAGCUGAGAGAAAGAGAACAAAGGAGAGGAAGAUUGUUAAUGGCGCUUGGGAGAAAAGCAAUAGGAGUGGUUUUUCCCAUCAUCUCUACGCAUUCACACACCCUCACUAGCUCUCCAUUCCCCUGCGUAAUUAAUAAUUAGGAGCUAGCAUGCACCGGGGUUAUUAAUAAUCUAAUAAAUUGCAAACGAAACUGAAAAUCAAAACACGAGAAAGAAUAGUAACUGGAGACGUGAGCUUGACGACGUUGUUCAAGUGGCUCACACCUCUGCAGCACUCCGGAGAAGGUUGCUGGAAUGCUCCUUCGACUAAGUCCAAGUACGGCACAAAACUCUCGAACACGUCCCUGCACCGCUCUACCGAUAAAUCUGAAACGGCGGUCUUCAUCAGAACCAAGAACGUGACGACCAAUAUGGCACGAUGCAUCUUCAUCGAUCUUUUUAACAAAUGAUGAAUAAACUAGCGAAGUACGUACAUAUAUAUAGUUAGAGAUUGUUCAUGUGUGAUAUAUAAAAAAAAUCUACAUGUACAGAAAUAUAAUCACCUUAUUAAGUAGUGGAAUAUCAGUUUAUAUAAAGAAUGCAUGGUUAGUUUAAUAUGAACACAUGUAAUUUGCAUGUCUCUAAUUAUUCGGAUUCAUGCAGUUGAAUCUUUUAAACUAUUUACGCAAAUUUCGUAUAUAUAUUUAAAAUUAUAUAUCGGUCCAUUAUUUAUAUCCCAUGUGUGUGUGUGUGUGUGUGUGUUUUUUUUUUUUUUUUUCCAUGUGUGUUUUGUGUCUUGUUAAUCUUGAUAAAUCAUAAAUGAGCCUAUAAUAACAUUAAUUCUGGUCUCAAUACAUAUUGUUUGGGGUGUCGAACAUUUCUCCAGCUUUUUGGUUCGUUAUUAUUUCGAACCUCAUCUCUUGAUUUAGAAUCUAUAAAGUUUUGUCCCUCUGAAAGAAGAACGAAAGAUUCAGCUACCUUCCUUGCUUCUAAAGUAACAUCCAGUUUUUAAAAGUUCGACCUAACACCUAUGAGGUUAGACCUUUUUUUUUUUUCUGGUUUUCUGAUUUUCCCACUUUCUAUAUAAAUGAUAAAGAUGUCUCGCACUUUCAUGAGAUGUGCGUGAAAUUCUACCCUAGGAAAUUAAAAUAAGGGAUAAAUAUAAAAGAAUCGUCAAGACUCGGGUCACAUAAUUUGGGCCGAGAAAGAAACGUGUCGAAAGGAGUCCAGUAGCAUAUUCGUAGUUAUAGAAAACCUCAUGCCCUUUUUCGUCUUAUUUGUUUAGGACCAGAAUCAUGUAGAACCGCUAUACUACUCUCUUCUCGCCUCUUUCAAGAGCUCUCUCUCUCUCUCUUUCUCGUUUAAGCUCCGGCGAUUAAUCUUCCGUAAGUUCGUUCUCUCGGACUCCAAAAAUUAUAGCUUUUUAUCAUUGAUGUUUCUCUUACUUCUCUCUGUUUUUACUGUUAUGCUUCUCGUGAAUUAUGUUUCUUUAUGCCACCUUGUUGGCUUGUUGCUUUAAUCUUUUAAAAUGGAGGAUUUCAUUUGAGCUGCAGCUAGGUUUGUGUUCGUGCUGGUAUUUGUGAAUUAUGUCGCAUUAUAGCUGAUUGAGAGUAACGGUGGCUUUAAAAACGAAGUUAACUAGGAUCUUAUAAAAUGUAAUGACGGUGUCUUCUCUGUUUCUCUUCCAGUUUUGGUUAUGAUCAUUAUCUUCAAGCAUGCAUAAGUAUAUAAAUGUCGAGAAAGCAAGAAUUUUUGGUGUUUAAUUUGCUUUUUUUUGUUUCUUUGCAGAUCACUUGUUACUGAGUUUUACUAAAAACAAUGGAUGGCUCAAAGCAUCCAUCGGUGUUUCAGAAACUCAAGGGACAAUCCUGCUUGAUAAAUAGAUUUUCGCCGAAUGUGCAAACUCUUGAUUACGGAGUCUCUGGUGCUUAUGUCAAUGGAGGUUUGCAUAGUCUAUUUCAGUCUACUAACCAAGGCAUUGGCUCUUCUCUUCUACCAUAUGGUUCAUUGCCUGUAUCUGUUCAAGCCCCUAGUGAGAAAACUGGCACUGGUUUCUUGAUCGAUUUCCUUAUGGGAGGAGUCUCAGCUGCUGUUUCAAAAACGGCAGCAGCCCCUAUAGAGCGUGUGAAACUCUUGAUUCAGAAUCAAGAUGAGAUGAUCAAAGCUGGCCGGCUCUCUGAGCCAUACAAAGGAAUCACUGAUUGUUUUGGCCGAACAGUCAAAGACGAAGGAUUGGUUGCUCUUUGGAGAGGCAACACUGCGAAUGUUAUCAGAUACUUCCCCACUCAGGUUUAGAUUCCUCUUCUUCUUAGGCGUGGUCUUACUGGUAUAGAUGUUGAGAUGGGUGUGUUAAGCAAGGGUUUCUGUUUUGCAGGCUUUAAACUUUGCGUUCAAAGAUUACUUCAAGAGGCUCUUCAACUUCAAGAAAGACAAAGAUGGCUACUGGAAGUGGUUUGCAGGGAAUCUGGCGUCUGGUGGUGCAGCUGGUGCAUCAUCUCUGCUAUUUGUAUACUCUUUGGAUUACGCUCGUACCCGUUUGGCCAAUGAUGCCAAGGCGGCCAAAAAAGGUGGUCAGAGGCAGUUUAAUGGCAUGAUCGACGUGUACAAGAAGACUAUAGCCUCUGAUGGCAUUGUUGGUCUUUACCGUGGUUUCAACAUCUCAUGUGUUGGAAUUGUUGUGUACCGUGGGCUUUACUUUGGAUUGUAUGAUUCCUUGAAGCCUGUGGUUCUAGUUGAUGGUCUCCAGGUACAAAACAAAGAAAACUGUUCAGUAUUCACUUCAGCGUAUGAGUCCUCUGUUACUGUUUAUUCACUGCUCUAAACUAUACAGGAUAGCUUCCUUGCGAGUUUCUUGCUGGGAUGGGGAAUCACCAUUGGAGCUGGACUGGCGUCUUACCCAAUCGACACAGUGCGUAGAAGAAUGAUGAUGACAUCAGGUGAAGCAGUGAAGUACAAGAGCUCUCUUCAGGCCUUCUCUCAGAUCGUCAAGAAUGAAGGGGCCAAGUCACUCUUCAAGGGUGCAGGUGCAAACAUCCUCCGAGCUGUUGCUGGGGCUGGUGUGCUCGCCGGCUAUGACAAGCUCCAGCUUAUUGUGUUGGGCAAGAAGUAUGGCUCUGGUGGUGGCUAAACGAUGAGAAUGAAAGAAAAUACUUAAGGUCUAUGAGUGAAUAAGUAGUCUGUGUUUGUAUAAAUGUUGCUUUGAAUAGUGAGUAUACUCUGGCUUGUCUUAGUGUAGGUCAUGUUAACUUUUACUUGACAAAAGAAUAAUGCAAAGAAAACCACUGGAUACAAACACUGUUAAUUAAAUAAAAUGAAAGGUGUUUUUGUUUGUGAAAACAUGCUGGGAGAUCCAAAGAAGUUAAAUGUAUGGUUAUGCCUAAAGUUUGGAUAAUUCAGAUAGGCUUUCCUUGGGUUGUAAGCGAAUGAGUUAUCUAAAUCCAACAAUAAGAUUUGGUCUUCAAAGGUGUCAUUUCAGAUCCCACUUCAAACCACUUCAGAUAGCUACAAGUAAGGAGUUGAGUCUUUUUCCUUGAACUUAUGCCACCACUAGGAUAUAUGCUCAUUAAUACUUUCUCUAAUAAAGGUGUUUGUCUAUAUAAACCAACAUACUUAUAAAAAGGAUCUAUAACUCGUCUUUCAAUGGCUCUCUCUUUUACAUUUCAUGCCCUCAUCUCAGUUCUUGUUCAUCUAUCUUUUGUAUCAACUGCAAAGCAUAGCCAUCACCACCACACAAGUCACAGUCUUCAUCCACACACUCCAAGCUCUAACCAACAGCUUCAACAAGCGUACCAUGCACUUCAAGCAUGGAAGAAGGUCAUCUAUUCCGAUCCAAAGAACUUAACAACGGACUGGGUUGGUCCUUCAGUCUGCAGCUACACUGGCAUCUUCUGUGCCCCAUCCCCAUCCGAUCCAAACACUCUAGUUGUUGCUGGAAUCGAUCUCAACCACGGUGACAUCGCUGGUUUCCUGCCUGAAGCCAUUGGCCUUCUCUCGGACCUUGCUCUCAUCCAUCUCAAUAGCAAUCGCUUCUGCGGCAUCCUUCCUAGUUCCUUGGCCAACCUAUCGUUACUCUAUGAGCUUGACCUCAGCAACAACCGCUUUGUAGGACCUUUUCCGGAUGUCGUCCUUUCACUCCCUUCUCUAAAGUACCUUGACCUUCGUUACAAUGAGUUUGAAGGCCCCUUGCCUCCAAAACUUUUCAGCAAUCCCCUCGACGCGAUUUUUGUGAACAACAAUCGGUUAACAAGCCUCAUUCCCCGAGAUUUCGCUGGAACAACCGCCUCCGUCGUCGUCUUUGCCAACAAUGAUUUUAGCGGUUGUCUGCCUCCAACAAUAUCCCGCUUUGCAGAUACCUUGGAAGAGCUUCUCCUAAUAAACUCAAGCUUAUCUGGAUGUCUACCACCCGAAGUUGGAUAUCUCUACAAGUUACGAGUCCUGGACGUGAGCUACAACAGUUUAGUUGGCCCUGUACCUUACAGUCUCGCUGGUCUAGGCCAUUUAGAGCAGCUGAAUCUGGAACACAACAUGUUCACUGGCACUGUACCUCUUGGAGUCUGCGUUUUACCCAGUCUACUUAACCUUACCUUCUCUUACAACUAUUUCAGUGAAGAAGAAGGCAUCUGCAGGAACCUGACUUCUAGAGGAAUAGCCGUCGACGAUCGCUACAACUGUUUGCCUGACAAACCGCUUCAGUGGAGCCAAAAAGUCUGUGAUGCUAUACUUGAGCACCCCAUAGACUGCUAUGACCACGAAUGCUCAGCCAUGGCUCCUCUGGUUGCUCCAUCUACAGCAGGGCCUUCCAUUGCUCCUGGUCCAGCUGACACAUAAGGAUUCACUUGUAUGCGCACAAUGACCAGAUGUUAUGUAUGCAAACAAAAUGAAAGAACAAGAAAUGUGUGAAAGAUUUGGUUGUAGGGUGAAAGAAUAUGCACUAAGAUUUUUAAAAUUAUACGAUUAUACAGAACACAAUGUCUAUCCGCGGUAUCUAGCCGCAGUUACAGAUUCCACCUUUGCUAUAUUUUCAUCUAAAAAUCUUCUAAACCUCUUCAAGGACCUGAAAUUAAAGAACCAUCCCCACCUGUUUCAGAGAGUCAAAUUUUGCAGCAGUUAACUUCGUGCUGUUGAGAAAACCCAAACUCUAGGAAUGUUUGACAUAUAAGUGAAACAUCUCAAAAUUUUCAGAAAAGAAAAACAGAAACCAAGAAACCUGGAAAACGCAUGACAAAACACUGAAAUAAGAGCAUGAUUCUUCAUAGGCCAAUCAUAUACAGAACUUGGAUUUUAUUAUCCCGAGUUCUCACUUGUAAAAUCAUAUUCAUGGUUGUUAACAAUAAAUUUCCUUCAGAGAACCAAAACACUAUCUAUAUACCUAACAGGCAAAGAAACUACCAAAAUCUGAAAAGAUUUUAAAAAAUCCGGUUUGGAAGUUCGGUUUGAGUUGUUACCCGCAAUAAACUGUGUGAAGCAGGUACAUCCUAACAAACCGAAAACAUCCUCUAUGCUGGAGGAAGAGAACGCCGGCAAGUUGGGCACUCCAUUUUUAUAUCCAUCCAUCUCUGUAAGCAGCCCGAGUGGAAGAAAUGUUCACAUGGAGUUACCUGUUCUCAGAAAAAACUCGCUCAUAAGUCUAUUUAUUGGGGAAAAUGUGUAGUUUAGAGAAUCCAAAAGAAACUGCUGUACCAUGCAAUCACUGGUAUGCUGUCUGAGAUCAAUAGCGGUCAUGCAGAUAACGCAAUCAGUGUUGUGGUUUACGUCCCGAUUAAAUCUUCGGUGGUAGUUGUAUUUCUCUGGUAGCAUCUGCGUGUAAGCGUAAAAGAUAACAAAAGAGAUUAGCUGUAGGCAGAAACAACUUAACAAUGCGGAAGAGACCUGAAAUAUCCAAGCCAAACUGAACCGAACUGUAACCUACUGUUCGCUUUAUUAAAUUGAACAUUACAUGAAAAAAGAACAAACUAACCUGACGCGGAACAAAGCAACGUGAACCAAAAUAAUGCUGAAGAAGAAGAAUGGCAGCUUGCAACCCCAUGAAUGUGCACAAGCAUACGCACCAGAACUUGUUGGGCUCUACACGCAUGAAGUUGUGUGGGCACCCAAAAACAUAUAACGGUAUAGCUAACCGUGUAACUGUCAUCCCCAAGAUGUAAUAAGGGUGCAGAGGCUUUCUUGAAUCCCGGACGACAUUGGCAACUAUCUGUGGUAUCCAAAAUGAGUACAUGAGAAGGAGAAUCGGCUGCAUGUAGUUGUGGAACUGGUACAUUAUCAAAAUGCCUCCAAGAAGUAUCCCAUCUGUUAUAAUAUAGUGACAAUGAUGAAAUAUCAGCGUUAACAUCUGAAUUGCGUCAAAGAUUUCAGCUAAAUGAAAACAAAAGUCACACAAUUGGUGAGAAUGUCUAGCGCACAAGAUUCAAAAAGAUUAUUGUAGAUUCAAAUUAACUUACAUUAGCAAGUGAAUGAAACCAAGCAGGUAUAAUUAGGAAAUUUUGAGGAGACAAGUAAUACCAUUAUUUCCCAACCAAAUUGACAUAAUAAAGUUUCCUAAAACGCAACUUUCUUAUCGGGAAAUUAAAUGUUUCUGUGGUGGAUGUUUGGAAGAAAUAGGGGAAGAGAACCAAAAGACCAAGCAGUCAUAUGACUCAUAUCAUAAAAGUGCUGUAAGAAACGAGUUUGAAGCUUUAAUUGAUAAACAAAGACCAAAAGAGCAAGUACUCACAGAAACGGCUGUAGAGAAAGGACAGUUCUCGCCUCAUUGUUUCCCAACCUUCUCCGCUGUUGGAAGGACGGGUUGCUUUCCAUAUCGCCAGAAGAUAUCUCAUCUCAAAAAUCGAAAAGACUACGAAUUUGAAGAACGCAGCGGUUGCAAAUGCAUUAAACAGAGAUUCUGCAUGAGAAAUUUGUAACCUUAAGUUUUACAGUGAUGGAGAUUUGAGAAAAGUAUAAAUCACAAUGUCAAGUAGCAUACGGGCCAGUGAGACAGUAAUAGAAAUUCCGACAAAAUGAAAGCGUAAUUUAUCAAACAGAUGAGGGUAAGAUGUGUCGAAGAAAACCAACAAAGAAUAUUAUCAAAAUGCAGGGGGGAUACAAAGAAUAUCACUGCAUUAAACGCCUAACAUGUAACAUGAAAAGAGGAGUCAUAUAUUAGCUUUAAAAAAAUGGCAUCCUUCAACGCGUGAGUACAGUUAUAAGGAUAUACAUACCGACUAAUAUACCAGCCGUGAGAUGUAAAAGGCACAAAUAAGCAUCCAUGAUAGCUUGUUGCCCAAUCAUUACAAUAGAUACCUUGGCAGCACCCUUGUAUACAAGAACUUCCGGAAGUUAGUUUUUAUUCAUUCUGUACAAGAAUAACAGUAUUAGACCAUCUGGUUUACAUCGGUAUCUUACAGAAUGUGUGUUACCGUGCUCCAUUUGUCGGAUUAACAAAAGAACCUGGAGGAACGAGACCUGAAUGCCAUAGAAAGUUAAGGAACACACUAAUAUCGGAUAAGUUCUCAGCAGUCUCUUAUGAAAGGGUAAACUACUUUUAAGUAAAGGAUACAAAAGUAACCAUCAGCGUAUAGUUCACAGCUUUGUUAUAGUAGACUUCGACAUUUACAGAGGUUGCAUUCAGUAACAAAGGCGAGAAACAAUUUCCGUCAUCGCCUGCCCCAGGACUUUCCAGCAACCCUUCCAUGUGAUAAUAAUUUUUGUCUCCAUCUACCAAAUUAUGGAAAAUAUCCUCAGCAUAAGAUAAAAUGUGACUAAAUAGACAAAGAAGAUAUCAGGAUCAUCUCAAUGUUUAAAGUUAGAAUGCAUACUAUUUUCACUAGAAGCCACACGGGAUACUUGAGCUGCUAUUUCAAUAUUACAGUGCUUCUCCAUUUCAUUCACUGGAGCUGAAGUACAAGAGAAUUGAAGAUCAGAGUCUCCGAAAAGUUUAGCACACGGGAAAAAAUAGGAUACUGCUUACAAAUUUUCCGUCUCAGUAAUCUGUCUCUUGGAGAUUCUUGAAACACUUGAGAGGAGAAAAUUCCUAGCUGUCCAACAGCAGAAUGUCUAAACUAGUAAGCACUUGGAACAUUUUAACACAUUAAUCCAGCCAUCAGAAGAGAAAGCACUAUCAUUGUCUAAAUGGGACAAACAAGAGUCUUGAGGAUUACCAGAUGAUAGGGAUUUGAGAGAAGAUUAUUGUCUUCUUGCCCUGAGUUGCUCUCCUUGCCGCUAAAGUCAAGUAAUGUACAGACCUUGGAGUUAAGAGUCAAUAAUAAAUCUUAAAAGCAGUUAAAGAAAAAACCGUUGAUUGUACCUAUUAGCCACAAGGCGGAGUUGUCUAAAGGGCCAUAUAUAUACACCUUCCAGAUUUAUUUGGGCACCACCCACAUUUUGUUCAUUGUCAAAUACGUCAUGGAAAACAACUACACCCUGUUCCGUGAACUUAGUUAGAACCUCAAAUAUUGCAUGCUACAAGAUCAAGGGAGAUCCCAAAAUACAGACUUAGAAGCUGAACUGUUCACCUGAACAUAAUGCACACCGGUUAUUUUCGUUGGAACUGCCACUAACUCAACCACAGAAUUACCAUUUUCUUUUUGAAAGUCUUGAAACUUUGAAGAGCUAUUUGCGGAGUUCAGAAACUUCCAAGUUCCUGAAGAAUACCCACAAUAGAGCUUAUAUUCGAUAAGUAGUCUAAAACAUAAAGCAAUAGACAGAAAACCACAACACGGUAGCUAAUUCUGAAAGAAGUAGAAAAUGAAGAAAGUCAUGCCACAAACCUCUAUAUGUUCCUGUUAUAUUCCAUGCGGAAAACGGUCCUACUUCAGCCUCUUGUUUUCUACCAAAGAGCCACUGCAAGAUCAUGUAAACCUUAGAAUAAAACCAAUACCCAAACAUUGCCUCGUUUACUCUGAACUCUGAAGAGCUAGCCAGUAUCUACCUAGAUUCCCCACUACCAAUGAUUCUACUUCUGCAACAACUAGCCAAUCUCUACCUAAGAAUCCAUUAUGGGUCUCAUCUCACCACACUAUCGAAAGAUUCAUUCUUACACAUCUCAGAGUAUUCACCAAGAGAACAAAGCUUGAAGACUAAUGAGCUCGAUCGAGCUAAGUUAGAUAACAUUAAUCAUUUUCAGAUUACUCAAUCAAAUAAAAAAAGAUGAAAGUUAGACCAAAGCUACUCUGCUCCUGGAUUUUCAUUCAAGAUUGUUUUACUCUGAUCAGCUCAAUUUUUGCGAGAAAAAACAAAGCAGGGAAUCUCAAACUUAGAAGAGAUAUCAAUUAGGACCAAUCAUUCAGCAAAUCAUGAACAGAAACAAGUCAUUGAACACAUUUGACAACAAACUGGUCGGACUAGCUAACGAAAGUGUAAAUUUUGUUUCUGGGAAACAUCAGUAUGACAGAAAUGAAUAAACUUUUUGAGCAAUCAUCAAUUGAACAAAAAAAAAACACAAACCUCGUCGCUCCAUGAUCGAGUUUUCUCCCUUAUGGGUCUCAAUCCCGUCGCUUGUUGCGAAAUCGCCAACAAAAUCAAUAGCCAGAAGAUAACCUGCCACUCGAACCUUAAUCCCAAAAGCCCCGAAUUGUCCCGCUUCUUCAUAUCACUCCCUACCCCUAAAAAUCCCUUUUUUUAUGACUUAACCCAAAACUAAAAUAUGAUAGGAUCAGAACUGAUUCGAGUUUUGCUCCAAAAUCCACAACACUGAAGACAAAAAUCCAUUUUUAAUGGCACAGAAGCAACACAGAGAAGAGAGGGUGAAGUCAAACAAACUAGGUUUUGGUUUUGC
Molecule: long non-coding RNA, 62607 nt
Filed under: Capsella rubella
Lineage: Eukaryota; Viridiplantae; Streptophyta; Magnoliopsida; Brassicales; Brassicaceae
Description: long non-coding RNA (CRUB_LNC001367)
Source: RNAcentral